UAAUACAUAUUAUUAGUAAUAUAUUUUUACUAAUAUAUGUAUAUAUAUUGCUACUACUAAUAUAUAUGUAUAUAUACAUAUAUUAUAGUUAUAUAUAUAUGUUAUUAGUAAAUUCAAUAAACUAAGACGUACCAUGAACACGUAAAAAUUCCCUGUGAUGAGUGUGAUAUUGUCCUGUUCAUGGUAUGUCUCUGUUCCUCCUUUUUGUCUCCCAUUCCCGUCCCCUCUUACCAGCUCUUCUUCCUCCCAUUAUUUACAAAGCUUUCUUUCUAUUUUAUCCUUUUUCUCCCACCUUUUCAUUGUUCUUAUUGCUUAUUCCAUUUCUUCUUAUUUCACAAUAUCUAUUAUAUAUUUUAAGUUUUAUUUACACUUUCAGUUUCUCAUGUCAGAGAAACAAUGCAAUACUAACACAAGUAACUGAUUUAUUUCACUUAGGAGUAUGAUCUCAUAGAGCAUCUAUUUACCUAAAAAUGUCUUAACUUUAUCCUUCUUAAUGGAAGAGUAGUGUUCCCUGCUAUUAAAAAACACAUCUUUUUUAUCCAUUCAUCAGUUGAUGGGCAUUUGGGCUAUUUUCAAGAUUUACUCAUUACAAACUGUGCCCUAUAAACAUGUAUGUGUAUAUGUCACUGUAGUAUGAUGCUCUAAAUUCUUUUAGAAAUGUACCUAGAAGAGGAAUAUCUAAGUCAUGUAAAGCCACUAGUCCUAGCUUUUGGGGAAUCUCCACACUGACUGAUUUCUACAGUGGUUGCACCAGUGUGAACUCCUACCAACAAUGGAGGAUUGUUCUUUUUUCUCCACAGCCCCAACGGCCUUUGCUAUUGGUUGAUUUAUUGAUGACAAUCAUUCUUUCUGGAGUGAAAUAGAAUCUCGCCAUUGUUUUAAUUUGCAUCUCUCAAAUGAUCAGUGAUGAACAUGUUUAAAUACAUUUCUUUGAUAUUUAUACUUCUUCUGAGAAGUGUCUAUACAAGUUUUUUCAAGAAGGCCUUGCCUAUGCCUGUGUCUUUAAGGGUUUUAUCAAUUUUUUCUUCCAGUUGAUUCAUGCUACCAUUUUAAUAUCUAGGUCUUUGAUCCAUUUUUAUUUGAUUUUAAUAUAAGUGAAAGAUGUAAGUCUAGAUUCUAUCUUCUGCAUGUGGACAGCCAGUUUUCCCAGCACUGUAUCUUUCUUCCAGUGUAUAUUAUUGGCCCCUUAGUAAAAAAUUAGCUGGCUGAAUGUGCUUGGGGUUAUCUCUGCAUUCCUUCUACGGUUUGACUGGUCAGUUUGUUUUGUGCUAAUAGCAUGUUGUUUUUAUAGUGUGGUUUUGUUGCAUAUUUUAGAACCUGGGAUUGUAAUCGGGCUUCACUGGGGACCAGGCUUGAACACAUGGGCCUUUGAAGAAUCUGAAUGAGCCAAACUAUAGCAGCAUCAUGAGAUGCGGGAGAUUACCUUGGAUAGUCUGGGUAGGUUUGAUGCAAUCAUAAGGUCCUUAUGAAAGGAAACAGGAAGCAGAAGAAUCUGAGGAUACGUAACAAUGGAAGCAGAGGUCAGAGUGAGGCUGAGAAUUGGAGGCAGCAUCUGGAAACUGAAAAAGCAAGGAAGUAACUAAUGUCUUAGAAAUUCAAUGAGAAGCAAGCCCUACUGACGAAUUUUGGACCUUUGACCACCAGAAUUGAAGAUAAUAAAUUUGUACCUUUUAAGUCAUAUAUUUAUAUUAAUUUGCAAUAGUAGUAAAGGGAAACAAAUAUAACUGUCAUUUAAAAAGUGUGAUUAUUGUCACAAUGGACCAUAAUUUUCAUUUGUUUAUUUCACAGGACAAACAUUCUGAAACAGCAGUUGAGUCAAGGCAUCCAGGCUUGCAUAAGUGGAGGUUAUGAUUACAGAGUGUGACCAGUUUCCACAAAGUUGGCCUUCAUGGUGGCCCUGGGCUGUGUCCAUUGACACUACCAUCCCCUCCUCUCCAAAGGAAUUGACAUGAAUGGUGGUUCAGAGCACUUUCAACUGCUACCGUGUGGAAACAAUUCUUUCUUUUCUUAGGUACUAUUGCUUAGGUGGUGCAGCCACCACCAUGAGUAUAGAAGCCAUAUGAUCUGAGCCAAAAGUUGAAAGAUGGAAUACUUGAAAUUUGGCCUUUAGGGAAAUUUGAAUUCUGUAGUGAUACAUAUGGCUGAGCAAGGGAUGGUUUAUGAUCAUCUUGGUUAGAAGAUAAUUUUGUAAGCACUGCAGAGGGCAGAGUGCUUUGCGUUUGCCUUCUUGAUUGAUUAUCAUGCCUAACAGUUUCUUGCUGGAACACUGGAAGUUCCCAUUUUGUCUCUUGAAGUUAGCCUGCGUCCCAGCAGAUGGCAGCCCAGCAGCAGUCUCAGUAGAUGGAUGGCCUAGAGAGAGCCUCACAGACAAAAGCAAACAUUGAUUAACUUCCUGACUGUGGAAAGCCCAAAGCUGUGAAGCAUUCAGAUUUUACUGGUGGUGGUGGUGACUCAUGGAACUAGUGGUCACUGAAAUUCUCUAGCCUAUGGGCAGACAGGCCGGGUUGUGCUACACAGGCUGUAAAGUAUGGUGACUGAGUGCACAUGGUUCAAUUAAAUUGAGUUAAAUCUGACACAUACAUGAUGGUGCAGAUUAUUGUUAAUAGGCUACACUGUGAUUAGGGAAAAUGGCUAAUAGUUCACUUGAAUGACUGUUUUUGGUAUUAUUUGCACAAUACGCCACUUGAAAACACUAGUUUUCCUCUUUUCAUUUUCUGAGAUCUGUGUUUUUAAUCAGCAUCAAAAUCACUAUUUCCUCUCCCUUUCCUACCUAAAAAGGGAGAUACCCUGUGUAAGGCAAUGGUUCAGAGUUCCUCCAACAAUCCCCUGGUGUCUUAACCCACAACCGAAGUUCUUUCCUGUUCAUGUUUGUGAACCUAUCUUCUUCCCAGGAUGCUGUUGAUUCACUGCACUGAGUGUUAUAGGCACUGAAACAUUGCACCAAGAGGCUUAGAUUUUUUUUCUUUACAGGCCAAGGUGGAUGUGCAAGGUAUCGUAGGACAGAAGAGGCACAGUGGAAAUUUUCCCUGACAUGUAGUAGCUUGUUAUAGGGGCAGGACAAUGGAAUGACCAGCUCUGCCUUGUCUAUAGAGAAGUGUUAAACAAGAGGCAAAUUCCUUCAGAGGGGUUUGGCUUCUUGUUAUUACCAUGGGGCAGCUGUGGGAAACAAAGUCAAUCAUAAAGUAUUCCUUUCCUCUAAAAGACUCUUCUACUAGUUUAGGGUCUAACUAAUUAGUAUGAUUUGUUAUUGAGUUUUAAGGCAACAGAUGUAUGCUUCGAAUAGGAGAACUUUGGUUUUGUAAAACACAAAUGGGUUCAGAUUUGUUUUCAGUGCUUGGCUGAACUCAGGACCCAAUACAUGUUAGCAAACCCUUCACGACUGAGCUACAUUCUCAGCUCCCAUAUGUUUAUUUUGAGAGUGAAGUUCAUUGUGGUUUAGACCUGGUGGCGCUCACUUUAGGAACAUUUUAGAUCUGCAAAUAAUACUACGCACUCAUUUGUUUAAACAGUGGAUUAAAAUAAUGAUAGAGUGAUUGAGAAGGCAAAGAAACAAAGAAUACAUUUUGUUCCUUCAGUAAAUGCUUUUGGCUCUUUAUUGUAGACUAAUGAUCUCAGCAGUGGGAUUUAGCAAUGAAGCAAACAAAUCCAUGUCCUUAUAGAAUACAUGUGACUGUCAUUUGGGUCAACAUAGAAAGAGUUGCCAAUAUUUUAGAACAUUCUCUCAUUCCUAUACUUAAUCAGUACUUACCCUCCAGAUCUAUUACUCUGAUUUCUAAUAGCACUGAUUUGUAUUACUUAUGCUUUACACAAAUUCUAGGUUGAUACAUAAUAUUUGUACAUAUUUAUGAGGCACCUUAUGAUAAUUUGAUAGUUUAUACAAUGGAUCAUGAUCAAAUCAGUGUAACUAGCAUUUGCUUGUCCUCAGACAUUUAUCAUUUUUAUGUGUUAGAAAAUUUCAGGCUCUUUUAGCAUUUUAUAAUAUAUAAUCAAUUGUAAACUGUAGUUGCCCUAUGGUUCUUUGAACACUAGAACUAAUUCCUUUAUGUUUUGGUACCUGUUAUCUAGACUCAAUGGUAUUACUAACUUUUGAACUUCAUAUAAAAGAAGUUUUUCAGUACAUUUUUUAGGUCUAGUGUCUUUCUAAUCACCAUACAUAAUGUUUCUGAGAUUCAUUCAUAUUCUCAAGUAUCAGUGUUAUGGUUUGUGCCCAAUGAGUCCCUCCAAAGCCCUAUGUACUUUGGGAGGUGGCUGAAUAUAAAGUUUGUGAUUGGUUCAUGGUUCAUGCUAGAAGUAAGGGUACUGGAUUAAGGGUGAGCAAUUUCUGGGAAUCAUUCUGGUUGAAUCGGCACUGCCCUGACCCCAGAAGUCUGAAUAAGUUAAAAGGGACAGAAAGAGACUUCUCUCUCCCGUCAUUGGUCUGUUUUUGCUGUUUUCUGCUGUCAUGAACUAUUUUUCCUCUGGAGUGUACCUCUGCCAAGUUACCUUGUGUUGGAGUCAGUCAAUUCUAGGCUGAAACCUCUACAAACUGUAAGCUAAACAAACCUCUUCCCCGUAAAGUUUGAGUAUCAGGUAUUUUUAUCUCGGUUAUGGGGGAAAAUACAAUCAGUUAACAUUUUUUAAAAAAUUUCUGAGCAGUGUUUCUAUGCAUGAAUAUGCCAUGACUGGAUUAAGAAUUCUUUUGUUAAUGAACAAUUUGGUUGUUUCAAGUUUUGAUCUAUGAUGAAAGAAGUAUAUAGGAGUAUUUUUGGAAGAAUCUUUUAGUAGACAUAUUUCCUUGCUACUAUUGGGUAGAAGAAAAACUUCCUGGAUCACAGUGUAACUCUGCAUUUAAUUUUAUCAGAAAUAGCCAAGUAGAUGUUUCAAAGAGUCUAUACCUUUUCAGUUUCCCAUAAGCCAUAUAAUUCCACUCUGCUUGUCACAAAUUGCAUCUUAAAUGUUCCCCAGGCCACGUGCUAAGGGCUUGACCCUUCGAAUGGCCUGUUGGAAGGUGGAGGAAUUUUUAAGAGGAAGGCCUCAUGGGAGCUCUUUAUUCAGACCACUGAGAGGUUUGCCCUUUCAGGAGAUUUUGGGAGAUUGGUGUCCUUUUUAUUCUUUUUUGCUCCCUAGCAGCAUCAGUUAAUCUAAACUGUCAACUUGAGAAAAGUAAUUUGUCAGUAGUUUUUCUUAUAUUUUAUUAAGAAUGCUUGUGUUUGUGUUUAUGAGGAAAAUUAUGCACCUCUUCUCAGGUGCAUAAACUGAGUUAGAAAAUGUCCUCUCUUCUUUAUAACGUGAAAGAGUUUAUAUUUUAUUGCAGUCUCUUCUUCACUGUGACUUCAGGCCUGGAAUUUUCUUUAAAUUAAAUAUUCAGGUUCUUUAACAGCAUUUUAUUCUUUGUUGUUGUUGUUCAGCAUUUUAUUCUUAAGAAUUUUUAUUUAUUUUUGUGCUACUUUGACAAAGUUGUGUUUUAAAAGAAAUUUUCCCAUUUCUAAGGAGCUUCUUAAAUAUAUUAAUAAAAUGUUCUUCAUAUUGUUCCUUUGGUUUUUAAAUAUCACAUGAUCCAAUUCAUUCCUGAUAUUGGUUAUAAUUGUUUUUUUCUCUUUGUUGUAUUUCCAAGAUUUGUUGGUUUUAAUAAUCUUUAGAAGAACUUUGGCUUGAUUGAUUUUGCUUUGUCAUUUUCCUAUUUCAUGAUUUUUUUCAUUGUUAUUUUUCUCUUAAUUUCUGAGGGUUUAUUUUUCAAUUAUGACUCUACUUUCUUGAAGAAAAAGCCUACUUUGUAGACUGAUUAUUUCAUUUCUGAUACAGUUCUAUGUUGCUUAAAGUUAGGAAAACUUCUGGAAAAAGCAUCAUGAGGUGAUUUUGUCUUUGUAGGAACAUUUCAGAGUGUACUUUCACUAGGGCAGCUGCAAUGUCUUAUGGGACCGCAUUAUCUAUGUGGUCCAUUGUUGAUCACCAUUUUAUUAGGAGUUAUAUGACUGUGUGUGCAUUCAAUUUAUAGCUUUACUGACAUUUCAAAAAUUUUGAUACAUCAUAUUUUCAGUGAUCAUUUUAUUCAAAAUAUUUUCUAAUUUCCAUUGUUACUUCAAUUUUGAUCGAUGGCUUACUAAACAAUGUACUACUGGCCAGAUAUGUGCCACAUGCCUGUCAUCCUUGUACUCGGGAGAAUCAUCAUGAGUUCAAGGUCAGCCUGGGAUACAUACUAAGUGCAAGGCUAAUUGAGUUGUACAGUGAGAUCUUGUCUCAAAAAACCAACCAAACAAACGAAACCAAAAAACUCCAUGAUUUUCAGUCAUUUGGUAGAUUUUUUAGUUAUUUUAUUAUUACUGAGUUCUGGUUGAAUUUUCUUGGGUUCUACUGCACAGAUACAGCUCAGGUCUUUUUCAAGAUAAAGUGCUAUAUUUUUUGUAAUAUGUUUCUUAACAGUUUAACGUGUAAAAUUGUACUUCUCUCUUUCUUCAGGUUAGAUUUUUUUUUUGUCUUUUUUUCCUUUUUAUCAGUACCAGGGAUCAAACUCACGACUGCUGCUUGCAAGGCAGGCGCUUAUGUCGCUGAGCUAAAUCCCCAGCCCCUGGUUAGAUCUUUUUUAAAAAGUGUCACUAACAAAGUUUUUGAGAUUAUGACUUGAUGGUCUUUUUCUGAUAAAAUUUAUGGUUUUUAUAGGUUGAUUUUUUGUUUGUUUUUUGUUUUCUAAGACAGAGUCUCACUGCAUAGUUCAGACUGCUCUUUAACUUACUAUGUAGCUCAGGCUGACCACAAAUUGCUACAGUCCUCCUGCCUCAGCCUCCCACGUGCUAGAAUUAUAGGCAUGUGCCAUCAUGUCCGACUAGACUGAUUUUGAAUGGGAUGGAGACUUUUAGUAAUAGCUAUGUCAUGUUUAGAGAGAGGUUGAGAUUUAAUGGAUUGUGCUAAUGAAUGGAUCAUAAAUUCCAGGGAGCGGAAUAGAAAGGGUUUUAGGAAAGAGAGAGGUGGCAGAAAUAGAGAAAAUGCUUAAGGAGGACUUUAGGAUUAUUAGAAUUCAGGAUGCAAGGUGUGAGCUGGGAGUGGUCUGCUUGUGGUUUGAACAAGAGGCAAAGGAUGAAAUGGUAUUAGACCCUGGGCAUCAAGGCCUACAGUGGUAACCAGGAGAGGAGUACUGGGGUUGAGAGCGUUAACGUUCUGGGUUCAUUAUUUUUAGGAAGCAAGGAAAAGAUUACAGGUGAGGGGGUCAGGGCACUGAGCUCUCUCUGGGCAUGAGGUAUUUUUUGAGAGUUAACACUUGAAUGUGAAUCAUUUCAAGAUAAAAAUGAUAAUAUUUAGUGUCUGCUUGAAGGGAACAAAGGCUUUGAAACUAAGAACACAAUACGCCUGAAAAGAGGGAGAGGACUGAGGUGGAGGAAUAUGCGCCAGCCCAGGAAGGCAAAGGCAGCAAAGGAGAGGGUGGGAAGUGCAUGAAAAUGAAAACAAUCUCACAGCCUUAGCAGCUUUGCCUUGGCUUAUUUUCAGUGCCUGAACAAGAUUUGCAGUGGGGACUUCUGUCGAAACUGUCAAGCACUUUAGAAACAAUUUUAGAGGAGGAUAACUCUUUGGAUAGAAAAUACCCUUACUUUAUCUUAAAAACAAAGUUAAUAUUCUUCCAUUAAAAAAAAGUAAGGGCUAAAAAAAAAGGAAGAUAAAAACUUUCUCUGCCACAGGCUGUCACCAAUACCUCUAACAUUUUAGUGUAUUUUCUGUGAAUAUCUUCUAUGUUUUAUUUUUCAGUGUGAGCAGAUCACAUACUAAAAGCAAGGAAGCAUAUCCUAAUUAUUUUUUAACACAUUGUUUUCUAGUUUUAAAAAUGUGCAUCUCAACAUAGGAACUCAAGAAAUACAGAGAAGCAUUCUGCUCUGGGUUGAACAGCUCUUUCCGCCGUGUUGGUUCUGCCACAGAGCCAGCCAAUCAUGGACUGAAACUGGGAGCCAAUAUAAACUUCUCGUCAUUUAAAUUAUAAAUAGCAGGUAUUUUGUCCCCAUGAUGAGAAAGCUGCCUAAGACAAUUGCUCAGAGUUGUUUGUGUUUUCAUGAGGUGGAAUUUAUAGUUGGAUACUAAAAUAGCUCAUUGUGUUAAGUUUUAAAGAAGUUAUCACAAUCUUACUUGGAAGUUCUAUUGUAGAAUUUCUCAGACUGUGGUCCAGAGGACAGCUGCGUCAGAAGCACUGUGAGCCAGCUGAAAUGCUGAUUCUUGGGUUCCACCUCAGGCUCAUUGAAUCAAAGUCUCCAGGGAAUGCUCAAAGGCCUACUAUUUUUUUUGCAAUCUUCUCAGCUGUUUCUUAGAAAAGCUUGAAAAUAUGAUGUUGGGGAAAGAUAAUAUUAAAAAGAACCUAGAUGCAGACACAAAUCUAGUAUAUUAGCAUUUUACAAGGACAAUAAUGGAAUCAUUGAGGUCAUUGUCAAGUGAAAAAGCUGGAAUGUAUUUCACUGUGAUGCUCUAGUUAUCUUACAUAGAGAAAUUUCCCAGGACUCUGAGCAUAACUGUAGUGACACUAAAAACCUUAUUUCACUAAUUUGUGCCUCUAAGCUACAUAACACUGUCCAACCUUCUCCAAAUCUUCCCAGUCAGCUCUUGGAGCUUUCCUCUGUGGUCCUUGGAUGUUACUUGACUGGUUUUACUAAAGUUCCUCUCACUUUUCUGGCUUGUAUCUAGGUGUACGCUCAAAGUGUCAUGUGCUCAUAGGCAGGACUUCCAGAGCCUGCUGGACUAGGUGAUCCUGUGUUUAAGGGUGUAUGUUACUAAAUUAGUCAACUGACUGGAAUGAUCAUAGUUCCGGGACAGGCUGAAUAGAUUUACUGAAGACAGAAGCCCACCCUUGGGUGUAAGUGGCACCACCUGAGAGGCUCAUAGCCUGCAUGGGAUGAAAGGGAAAGGCAGGCUUGUUGCGUCCUGCCUGCUUUGCCAUAGACUGUUUCUCCUCUGUGAUGCCCUCUUCCAAAUUGCCCUGCCUGAAGCCACUCAAUUAGGAACAGAAACCUCCACAAACUGUGAUCCAUAAUACACCUUUUCUCCUUUAACUUUCGGUGCUGGGUAUUUUGUUUUCGCAGUGAGAAAAAUAACUAAGACACUUACCAUCUCUCUUCCCUUUCAAGUUCCACUGGUACAUGAACCUCUCUUAGUUGAUCCCACUGGAACCCUGGGCAUCACAGGAAGAAGUUAAAUAGUUCUUAUAUUGCAGUCUAAUUAUUAAAGAGCACACAUUUUAUGUAUUAAAUGCUAAUUCAGGUUAUUAAAGUAAAACAUUACACUUCCAAAAACUAAAUUUAAAUAUAGUAAUUAAAUAUAAUAUUAAGAGAGAGGCAAGCAGUUGGGAGUAUAUUCUGGUACUUAAAUUAUUUCCUUUUUUAAAAUAAAAACCACUGCGUUUGUCUAUUCUUUUAUAUUUACCUGUGUUGGUCUGUGUUGAAAAUAGGAUGGAUUUUUGUUAAAGAGUUUUCAUUGGGAGGUUUCCUUUGUGCAGUCCUUCUAAGCAGUAGAGAUCCUUCACAAUAGGAACAGGAGGGCAGACUAGACUUGGAAAUGGGAAAUCAUUACAUAAGUGACCCUUAGUAACACGUAGCCCGAGGAAAAUGCAGGAUGUGAUGUACAACAGAACCUUUGUCCUGAAAUUGUAGAUUUGGUACCCUGUGGAAAUUUCCCCAAACUAAAGCAAUAAAGGAUGAAUUUGAGUUAAUAUCACACCAGACAGAGGAAAAACUAUUUCAGGCAUAGGAACCAGAAUAUGCAAGACUUCCAAGGUAGGAAAGAGCUUAGAGAAUUUGGACAAAAGAAGUUUCAAGUAACUUAAGCCAAGCACAGGAUUCCAACUGUGUAGACAAUGCAGCCUUUGUAGAAAAUUUGGGAAGUGUUCUAGAAAUGAAUGGGAAUCUUACAAAGGAUGUGAGGCAGGGUGGUGCUGUGAUCAGAUGUGUAGUCUGAGAUCAUGCUGGUCGCUCUGUAGAAAAUGGAACAGGAAGGGAUGGCAGUGGCCCUGAGAUGAUGAGGAGGUGGUUUGUACUAGUCAGAAUGGUCCAGAGAAGCAGAACUGAUGGGAUGUGCACCCUCUCUUCUCCUUGGGACAUGUUUAUUAAAGGAAUUGGCUCAUGUGAUUAUGGAGGCUAACAAAUUUCAAAAUCUACUCUCAACAAGCUGGACACCCAGGAAAGUUUUUAGUAUAAGCUCCAGUCUGAAUCUGAAGGCCUAAUAAGCAUGAGAGCUCAUUAUAUAAAUUUCAAGUUCCAACACAAAAGACCAAUGUCCUAGCUGAGGCAUGGAGGUAGGCAUUUUCUCUUACGCAGAGGGGCAGACUUUCUGUUCUACUGAGGCCAUCAACUAAUGGCUUGAGACCCACUGCACUAAGGAAGGCAAUUUGCUUUACUCAGUCUACCAAUUUAAAUGUUAAUGUCAUCCAGAAAACACUGGAUUGGUCAAACACACCCAGACAAGUGUUUACGCAAUUCUCUGGGUACAGGCAAAUUGGCAAUAACAGUUGAUUAUUAUACUUUUAUUACCGAAAGGCAAGGAGAGUGACAGCUGUAAGCUGGUGGGAGCAGUGACACCCUCCAUAAACACACUGAGGCAGAAUGGACAGAUUUGGGUGUGGAGGAGGAGGAGGAAUCGUAAAUCUUGUGCAUGUGUAGGACAAGUAAUUGGGCAAAUGAUCUUUUGUUGACAGAGGGCACAAUGGAAGAGGAACCAACUUCAAGGAGAUGUUUCCAAGUUUUUCUGAAUUCAGGAAGUCAGCAGGAUACAGCUGGGGAGAGCAGUAUCAAGGAGCAGGUGUGAAGCAAGGAGUGUGGUCUGGGCUCCCACUCACAGACUCUUUGUGAGGGUCUGAAUCUGGGCCAACUAAUUUUCUAGAUGGAAAAACACCAAUUUCAGCCCUCCACCUGCUUUUCUGCACAUUUGACUUUAUGGUGCUUGCAGUUCCAAAUGGACUUUGGAAGAGGGGUACCAUCCAUACCAGAGGAACCAGUACAAGGAAAGUGAGGAAAAACUACAUUAAACUCAGGCAGAACAGCAGCAGUGGCCCUCCUGUCUACAUGGUUCAGGCCUUGUGAAUGAGGCCUAGGAGAUGACCCUAGGGAAGGAAGGAGUCUCUCCUUAUUUUAUCCAGUUGGUUAGGUGCCAUUAGUUUGCAAUUCCAAUGGGCUUACUUACAUUAAGCUGAAAUGAUUUCUAGUACUAGAUUAUUGGGAUCACAUAAAUUUUUUUUUCUAUUGUUGCACAGCAUGUUUUGAAGGAAGUUCAGAAAUCUAUAUCUGAAGUUGUUAGACAGAUAUCAUUUUAAAUCAGUGGUAAAAUUUCUUGCUUUCUGUUUUCUUGAAAAAAAUUGCAUAGUUGAUUUCACGUAACUCUAUCAUCAAUAGCUUUUUAGGGCGCUUCCCAUUCAGUCUAAUUAGAAAUGUAUGAAGAAUUAUUGUAUAUCUUAAACAAUUUCCACAAUUUCUGAAGGCAAAUAAUUGGAAAUACUAGAACUCUAGUAUUCUGUUUUUUUAAAUUUGCAUUUUAAUGGUUUGCUAUUUAGCAUAAGUGGUAUUUGUUUUACUCCAGUGAAUAAUUAGUACUUAGAAUUAAAACAAUAAUAGUAACAUAGUGAACUAUUGUGUUUUCUUCAAAUCAAGCAAUUUAAUAUUGUAUUUUUUAAAUGAAGAUCUUGGUAUUUAUAUAGCACAACAGAACUAUAUCCUCCUUAUCUCAGAAUUUAAAAAUUAGACACUUGCUUCUUCCUACAAAUCAAAAGUACUCAAUAUAGUCUCCAGUCUAAUUCAUAAUUAAUUUCUAGUUCAGUAUUUUGAGAGAAUGCAAAAGAUAUCAUAAAGCAGAAAUGAAUUGAUGCAGGAUUUCUUUAAUGGAAACACAGUAGAUACUUAUACUUUACUCAUUUUUCUGUUUCAUGGGAUCUUUGCCUGAUAUACAUCUGAAAGUGUAUUUCCAUUAUAGUAUGAAACAUAAGAAUUAUUUUGACAAAUGGUAAGUUAGUCUUUUUAGUAUAAUCAGGGGCCAUCUUCUAGUAUUUAAUUGUGCUGGUGAAAUCUUUCACUUUUUUUCUUUUUUCUCUUUCUUUCUCUUUCUCUUCCUUUUUCUCUCUUUUCUUCAUUCCUUUGGUCUCUUCCUUUCCUUUAACAAAACAUUAGGCUCAAAAUAUUUUGCCAAAACUAUCUUGCCUUAGUCCUUUCUUGAUACUACACUAAAAUAGCAUAUAUUCAGUAAUUUAUAAAUAGUAGAAAUUUAUUUCUCAUGGUUCUAGAGGACAGGAAGCCUAUUUUCAAGGUGCCAGCAAAUUUACUGACAAGAGGACACUAGAUAGUGCCUUGUCGUUACAUCUUCUAGAGAGAACAAAGGUAUUCUCAGAUGGUGGAAGGGACACCAGGACAAAGGAAGUGAAGGCUGUGUUCUCACAUGGAGGGGGAGAUGGGAGGGCUGGGGAUCUCUCUGAAGCCGCCUUUAUAAGGGCAUUAAUCCCAUUUGCCAGGAAGACUGGACCACUUUCCAAGAGGAAGUGACCUAAUCUCCUCCUCAUGAGCAUCACCUCUUAAUACAUGACCGUAAGGUUCAGUUUCCAACACAUGUACCGGGUGGGUGGGUAGACGCGUAUUCAUUCAAGCUAUAACACAUAAGGAGUAUGUAUAUGUCUUGUAGUAUCAUGUUCACCCUUUAAAAACCUACACCUAGUAGGAAAAGAACAGAUAUGCAUAUAUAUAAUAUAAGAGGGAAAACCAACAGAUUGCAUGGUCUCAACGUGCACUAAAUAUGGAAGCAGCUGACUCCAGCAUCCUAAAUUACAGAACAGUGGAUGGUGUGGUCCUGACAGGGCUGGGAGCAGGAAAAUUGGCCAGAUGGAAGAGGCUCUAAAAUCACCUUAGUGACUGUAGAUCAAAUGAUUUGCUGACGAAAUUCCCAAUUUGGUACUAAAAAUGAGAAUUUUUUAUGAUUGAAAAAUUUUAUGAGUAAAAUCAGAAGCCAUUAAAAGGAACAUUUAGAUCCAAAUGACUUCGCUUAACCCAGGGCCAAAAUGGCUUUGUGGAUCACAGUUGCUAAUGUGAAUUGCACUCAGAGGUGAACCCGCAGCUGGAACAUAUUAGGGCCCAGUUGUUUCCUGAACUAGGCCAGCACCUUUCAGUGCACAAGCUGCUGAACUUGAACUUCCGAACCUCUCCACACUUGAGCUGUUUGGAAGGUUGCUGCCAGUAGGGAAAAUUUGAUCUUGUCAGUGAUCCACUCAAUAGUAUUACGAAUUCAAAGCAAAACAUGUUUUAUGAUCAAAUAAGCUUGGGAAACACUAACUGAUAAAGUUAGAAUAGGCUUUCUCCUGAAAGACCCUGUAAAGAUUUUAACAGACUCGUAUGAAUUGUGACUUCACAAGACUAUUACCCACAUUUAUUCAUCCAGUGGGCCAUUUUUCCUAGAGCAUUUCUAAGAGUUGUGCUUCACAAAAUACAAUUGGGGGAACAUUUUAUGAGUAUUAGUUGAAUUAUUGAGAAUUGGUUACAGCUGGGGUAACUAUGUAAUUUAUAUAUGGUCGUAGAACAUGGGUGACUUCAAGUGUGCUGGGAACUAUUUAUGAUUUUGCUUGACAACAAAUACAAACUAGUAAUGUUUUGGGCCAACCAAGAGGUAUGAUAUUUCUAAUUAUAGGAAGUACUGGAUAUUCCCACUAACAAUGAUUGUACUCUGAACAUCAGUCCAAAAGCAACAGGACACAAAAUGGUUGGGUCAGUAGAGAUCUCAGAAAUGGAGAUCCCAGGAUGAGUUUAGAUAUGAAAGAGAUUUAUGGGUUGAAAUUUAUGUGAUGACUAAAAGGGGAGGUUUGCAAGAGGCAGUUGGUUGAUACUUAUAAAAGGAGAAAAGAAAGGAGAAGAGAGGAAGGAAUGGAGGGAAGGAAGAAAGGAAAGAAAGAAGGUAGGAAGGAAGGAAGGAAAGAAGGAAGAAAGGAAGAAAUGGACAGCUUGUUGCCUGGCCUGUUUAAUUCCUCCCAUCUCUCAUACAGAGAGGUGUUUUGGCUUGAUUUCACAGCUAGGUUCUGGACCUUUGAGAGGAAAACUCAGAUUUCUUCUGCUCUUUCUGGGCCCUCUGGGAAGAUCUAGCAUGGACCUUACAGACUGAAGAUAGGAACUGCUGUGCUGAACAGGUGAGAACAGUACUUGAGGGGUGCCGGAGAUUGAAAGGGAGAAGAGAAGACAAAUAGAUUUGCUAGCAAUAGGCAUCUGAACUUUCUGUGACUAUAAAUCUCUUCUCAGAAUAGUGUUUUAAAAUGCAUUAAAGUACACAGAAUUACAGAAGACACCAAAAAUUACUGAAAUACCACUAAAAGCUAUUUUAAAAAUGUUUCUGACUUAGCAAAAAUUUCUUUAUUGACAUCUUAAUAUAAUGAAAUUUAGCACUAAGUCUGAAUAAGUAAUGGAAUUUCAAAGUAGCACAUAGUGUAAGGAAUCUGGAGAGGUCUGCAAACUGUUGUGGUUUGCAAAUAGAUGUGAUUUACAUUGGUUACAAGGUCACAGGUAUUGUUAAUGCUAUUACAGUUUGCCAUCAAUAUUAGUGGCUAAAGAAAAUACUAAAUUUUGGUUAGACAGUAAAAAUAAGCAUGCAGCUUCUUUCUCCAGAAAAUUUUAUGAAUGCCAUGUGAAGAAACUUUGCUGUAAAAGUUUUUGGACACUUCCUUUUGAGCUGGAGACCAAUGAUCACCUUUGAAGGUGGUUAUUACUCCUUAUCUUUGGAAAGCUAACUUGGGUGUAUUGGUGCCUGACCCCAGUGUGCAAUGACUCAUUCAAUACCUUUUCUUGUUGGCAGGCCCUGCUGUAUAAUCUUCUAGCUAUUGAGCUAGAGGUGGUGGAAAGAAAAGCACAGUCUUAUACCGGAUUCCAGACACUGGGAGGGAACAGAAACUUGAGUCAUUUGUCUUAGAGUGUAAGGCAGCUGUGGUGAAGAAUCUAGGCUCUGGAGCCAGACUUCCUAGGUUCAGAUCUCCGGCUCACCUGUGCUACCUUACCCCUCUGUGUCCCUGUUUCUUCAUCAGAAAGACAUGACACAAAUUAAGGUUUACCGCCCUGGGUUCCUAUGAGAAUUAAGUAAGCAAGAAGUUUAGUAUAGAUUCUGAAGUAUGAGCAAUUCUUAUUGUUUCAGUUAUGAAAGUCAGUAUAUUAAAUGCCCUUUCAAGAUUGAGAUGGGACUGUCUGAUGUAUGGUUGAUUUAUAAAGCCAUCAAGGAUGUCUAAGGUAGAGCUCCCACUAGAAAGGGGGUGUUGACUCAUAGCUGUACAUCAACAUAGGACCUGGCUUGCUGUCCCCAGGCAACUUCUGGAUAAGGCUGGAAAUCUCUCCUCCUCUGUUAGCCUGAGUGUACUUAGAACUGAAAGGCUGAGCAAAUGAAUGGAAACCAAAGAGCUGGGGACUAAGAACCUGUCAGGAUGUGCCAUCAAAGGAGAUUUUUAAGAAACUUUAUGGUCUGUGCAGAGGAAAACGUACCACAGUAGAACAUAGCACGUGGCCUUUGAAAACUCCGGAAGCAACACAAACAAUGGCAGUGGAAGUAAAUAUCAGAUUUAUUGUUGCUGGUCCCCUUCCAUCCUCUUAUCCAAUAUUUGGAAACCAGAUUGAUCAUUUUUUUAUUAAGUAUACUGCUACAAUUUAGAUAUACAUAAUGAUCAUAUUCAUCAUAGGGAAUUUGUACACUGUAUACGAUACAUCUUGAUUCCCCCCUUUUUUUGCUAAUCUUCUCCCCUCCUUUCAACUCCUCUUACUCUCCUUUUUUACAAAUCGUUGUUUCCAUUUUAUCUUUUUAAAAUUUUCCCUUCCUUCCUUUCCCUCCGCCUUCUCUCUUGAUUCCAUUUCUUUUGAACAAUUUCUUCCCAUUUCACAAUACCUGUUAUAUACUUUGGUCUUUAUUUAUGCUGUUGGCUUCUCACACCAGAGAAACAAUGCAAUAAUUAUCCAUGUGUGUCUUACUUAUUUGAUUUAAGAGUAUGGUCCUAAGGUGCAUUCAUUUACCUAUUUACCUGUUUAUCCUUAAUUAUGAUUGAAUAAUACUCCAGUGUAUAAAAAGACCCCACAUCUUUUCCUCCAUUCUUCUGUUGAUGGGCACUUGAAUUGUUUCCAAGAUUUAACUAUUACACAUUGUGCUGAUAUAAACAUGGAUGUGCAUAAAUCACUGUGGUGUGAUGCUUUAAUUCUUCUUAGGAGAUACCCAGAAGGGGAACAGCAAGGUCAAAUGGGACCCCUAGUUUUGAGGAAUCUCUACACUGAUUUCUAGAGUGGUUGUACCAGCCUACACUCCCACCGAUUUGUUAUUGAUUGAUGUAUUGAUGAUAGCCAUUCUUUCUGGCGUGAGAUGGAAUUUUAACAUUGUUUUAAUUGUAUUUCAUGAAUGACCAGUGGUAUUGAACAUUUUUUCAUACACUGUAAUUUUUCUGAGAGGUGUGUAUUAAUCUAAGAUGCAUAUUUUUGGAUUGGGUCUUUAAAUUUGCAGGGGCUAUGAUUUUUUUCAAUUAUUUAUAAGCUCUAGGUGUUAGUCCUUUAUCUGACAGACAACUGGCAAAAAUCUAUUCCCACUUCAUGGAUUGUCUUUUCACUCUAUUAAUAAUUUCUUUUACUGUGCAAAAGCUUUUUAAUGAAAUGAGAUCCUAGUUGUUGAUUGUUUGCAGUUUUCCCAUACUGUCAGGGUUUUGUUCAUGAUGUUUUUGCCUACAAAUAUGUAUUCAAGAAUUCUAUAUUCUUUUUUUCCAGAAGAUUUAGUAUUUAUGUUUUAAUGUUUAGAUCUUUGAUCCAUUUCAAUUUUAGUUUAGGUCAUGGUGAGAUACAUGGUCCUACUUUUAGUCUUUGGCAUGUAGAAAGUCAGUUUCUCCAGCACCAUCUAUUAAAGAGGCUUUCUUUCAGUGAAGUGACUAGGUCCCUUGUAUGGCUGCAUUUGCUUGGAUUUUUUGGUACAUCUUCUUAUCUGUUCCACUGAUCCUAAGGUCUGUUUUUUUUUUCCCAGUACGAUGCUGUUUUUAUCAAAGUAGAUUUGUAGUAUAAUCUUAAGUCAGAGAUUGUGAUCCUCCUGCCUUGGCUUUGUUGCCUACGAUUGUUUUUUCUGUUUUAGGUUCCAAAUGAAUUUUGGAACCAAGAUUCUUCUACUUCCAAAUGAAUUUUUUGGAAUGUUUUCUCUAGUUCUGUGAGAUAUGCUAUUGGUAUUUUGAUUAGGAUUUCAUUAAACUGAUGUAACAAUUUUGGGGAUGUGGCCAAUUUCUCUAUGUUAGUUCUUCCGACUCAUAUGCAAGAUAUUUCUUUCCAUUUUGUGACAUUCCCUUCAAUCUCCUUUUAUGGAGUGUCAUAAUUUUCAAUGUAUAGAUCUUUCACUUCUUUUGUUAGAUUGAUUCCUAAGUGUUUCAUUUUUUUGAGCCUAUUGUGAAAGUUGUUGGUUCCCUAAUUUCUCUCUCAGUGAGUUUGUUUUUUGCGUAUAGGAAGGCUACUGAUUUUUGAGUGUUGACUUUAUAUCCAUCUACACUACUGAAUUCAGUUAUUAAAUCUAGAAGUCUUUUGGUGGAGUUUUGGGGUCUUCUAUGUAGAGUAUCAUGUCAUCUGUGAAUAAUGAUAAUUUAAUUUCUUCCUUUUCUUAUUCCUUUUAUUUUUUUCUUGUAUAGUUGCUCUGGCCAAUGUUUCCAGAACUAUACUAAAUAGGAGUGGUAGACAUUGUUUUGUUCCUGACUUUAGAGUGAAAGCUUUCAAUUAUUGACCAUUUAAUAUGAUGUUGGGUAUUGGCUUGUCAUAGGUGAUUUUUGUCAAAUAGAAAUAAAGACCAUCUCUUCUGAUAUUCUGUAGGGUUUUUAGCAUGAAUGGUUGUGCCAAAUGUUUUUUCUUGUCUAUUUAGAUGAUCAUGUGAUUUUUGUCUUUGACUCUGUUGAUAUAGUGUAUGACAUGUAUCAAUUUGGCAGGUUCCUACAUCCUUGGAUGAAUUCUACUUGAUCAUGGCAUUUAAUCUUCUUGAUUUGCUGCAUUCUGUUUGCCAGUAUCUUAUUGAGGAUUUUUGUGUCUAUGUUCAUUAGAGAGAUUGGCCUGUAGUUUUGUUUUUUGGUUGGAAUCUCAUUCUAUUAAAAAGAAUUUGCACAACAAAAGAAAUCACCAACAGAGUGAAAAGAUAACACACAGAAUGGGAAAAAAAUCUUAGUAAGUUUUCCCUUAGACAAAGGCCUACUAUCUAGAACACAUAACUGAAAAAAAAUCAGACCUCCCAAAUUUAAAGACCCAUCCCAAAAAUGACAAAUGGCAAAUAAAUAUAUGAAAAAAUGGUCAAAAUCACUGGUCAUUCAUGAAAUGCAAAUUAAAACAACUUUAAGAUUUCAUCUCACCCUAGAAAGAAUGGCUAUCAUCAAUAAAUCAACAAAUAAUCAAUGCUGGUGGAGUUGUGGGGGAAAAAGGAGCCCUUUUCCACUGUUGGUGGAAGUGUAGACUGGUGCACCCACUCUGGAAAUCAAUGUGGAGAUUCCUCAAAAAAAAAACCCCAAAACUAGGCAUCUCCUUUUGGGUUUUUUCUUGGAAGAAUUAAAAAACAUCAUACUACAGCAAUAUAUGCCCACCCAUGUUUAUAGCAACACAGCUUGUAAUAGCUAAGUCUUGGAAACAACUUGAAUGCUCAUCAUCUUAAGGAUGGAUAAAAAGAUGUAGGAUUUUUCAUACAAUGGAGUACUACUGAGCCAUACAGAAGGAUAAACAUGAGACAUUUCUAGGUAAAUGGAAGGGCUUGGAGACCAUACUACUAAGUAAAGUAAAUUGGCCAUACAUUAUAAAUAUUGCAUUGCCUCUCUGGUAUGAGUAACUGUAAGUGUAAGUAGCAAUCAAAACAUAGAAUAGGUAUUGUGAAAUAGGAAGAUAUUUUUCAGAAGGAAAUACAAAUAAAAAAGCAAAGGGAAACUAGCAGAGAGGAAGAAGGAAGGAAAAAGAAAAAAUAUAAAAUGGAAACAAAGUUUUUUAAAUAAGGGAAGUAAGAGGAUCUGAAGGAACUGUAGGGGAAUGAGACAAAAAGAAACUUAGAUGUAUCAUGUACAGUUACAAGUUCCCUGUGAUGAAUGUGAUCAUUAUGUAUAUUUAUAUUACACCAAUAAACAAUAAAAAUCAGAAGUAAAUAUUCACUAUCACAACUAUUCAGUCAAAAAUCCAAACUUAAAAUUCUGGGGAACAGGGGGUAAUUGGCAGAAAAAAGAUGGGCUUUAAAAAAAUCUUGUGAUAAAUCCUACUGAGGGCAGCCCCUGCCUCUACAGGUAAACUGUAUAGUAAGAGUGAUUAGAAAAAUGGAGAGAGAGAGAGAAACAGAGAGACAGAGACAGAGAGAGUCGGACAGGGAGAAGGAGGGAGGGAGAGAGAGAGAGACAGAGAGAGAGAGGGAGAGAGAGAAAGCGAGAGCUAGACAGACAGACAGACAGACAGACAGACAGGGAGAGAGAGAGUGUGCCCAGAGAGACACCCACUAGCACAGUACCAUGGGAAUUUGUCAGAAAGAAUUAACAAAACAAGGAGGAAGCCAGAAAUAUAAAAAUCAGCUCCCCUCACCCACCUCUGCAAAGGACAUAAGGAAUGGUCACCUAAGGACUCUUAUUUAAUAUAUAAAAGACACACAACUACACAUAUACACUUGUGUGUACAUUCUCAAUUUAGCAUCACCAUACCUGUACCAGAUACACACAUGUCGCAUCCCUCGCAGAAGUAUGUAUAGUCUUAGAAGAGGUGCUGAGCUUAGGAAACAGAGGAAGAAGCCACUCUAGGAUUUAAAGUACAUUUAAAAUUGUUUUACAAGUAAUUUUCUAUGCACUUUUGAUUGAAAACCAUUUUCUAGUUCUCUGCAUUAGAAUUGGUGAUUCAAAAUUCAAAAUCUUCCCUACACUUCCAAAAAUAACAUUCAUAAAUUCUAACCGUAAUAUAUACUUUGGGAAGUGACAGUAGAUCAUAUCAGAGGUGUGACAAUCGGGAAGUUCAGCAGCGAUGCUAAUAGUCAGCCUUCUGAUGGACUGGUGGUUUGACCAAGUUGCAGCUUGUCCUCCAAAGGAUCAUUCUUGAUUUUCAAAUUUAUCUUCACGCAUAAUGCAAGCUGGUCACUUUUGGCUGGUCUGUGUGAUGCAGUCAUUCUUCAUGGUACUUCUCUGUCUACUUCAGUUCACUGGUAAGCAGUGGCUUUUCAUGAGCAUUUGCUCCUACAGCCUGGGAUCCUGUUGCUAUAUAAAAAUUAGGAUGGCAUCAGCAGAGGCUACCAGCGGGAGGCUGGUUCUUGUCUUCUCUACUUAGUAGCUAGGUAGAAGUACUUAACCUCACUGGGUCAGCAGUGCCUUAGCUAUUCAAGGCAGAACUGGACCAAAUGUUCUCCUAUGCUCCUUCCAAAAGGGCUGUAUUUCUAUGGAACUGUUAAAACUUUGUGCUGUCUUUGGGUGUAAGAAUUAGUGUCUUUUAAAAGUAUCCUCUGCUUUUUGCAUGUUACACAAUGAACAUUUAUUGCUAACUAAAAUUAUUUAAUAAGGAAUGUGCACUGUUCAUACUUCUGUUCCCCCAGUUAUUAAAAAUUGUUGACAUGUUAGCAUUACAAAUUUGAGAACUUUUUGCUACCAUAACUCAGGUUUUCAAUUUUGUUUGUGAUAGGGAUUGAACUCAUGGCCCCCCACAUGCUAGGCAAGAUCUCUACAACUGAAUUAUAUUCUCAGUUUAUCUUUUAUUUUGAGACAGGGUCUCUCUAAAUUGCUAAGGUACCCAAACUGGGCUGAAGUUAUGAUUCUCCUUCCUUUGUUGCCCAAGUAGCUGGGCAAAUGUAAUAUAAGAAUGAUCUUAAUUCUGAAUCUUUAGUAACUCCAGCAAACUGAUAUUCUAAAGUAGAACAGAGGAAAUCUCUGUUCUUCCAAAUAUCACUAAAGUUAUAGAUUUUAGUUAGCACUGUCUAGAUAACCUUAUAGUUUUUGUUUUGCUUUAUUGUUCCUAUCACACUCUGACUAGAUUGGCAAGUGUAAGUCAUUAUUUCAUGUUAUAAUUUUUGAGUUAUCAAAUUUAAAUUCCAUUAUCACAAUGAUUUGAUUUUUAAAAUAGGAUGCUCUUUUUAGUACAGUCAUAUUUUAGACCCAGAAAAGAUGAAAAAAUAUAUCAAUAACAAAUGGUUGUUUCUUCCUUUCUAUUUAUACCACUGUAAAUUGUACUUGAAUCCUAAUGAAAAUAGCAUUUUUACCUACUGACUUAAUUCACUAAUGCACAAAAAUAGAGGAGAAGGUAAAAUUAUGGAAACCUUUAUAGAAUCACUAGAAAUUAAGCAUGUACUUUUGACAAUAUAACAGUGGAAAUAUCUAAAAACUAUGAGUGAUUUAACAGAAUAAUUAAAAAUUUUUUUGUGAAUAUCAAGUACACAAGUUGAUUAAUCAAGAAGCCGAUCUAAUAUAAACAUUAGGAAGUGUAAAUGCCAAUCUAAUUUUUUUUACCUUUAAGAGGAAUGUUUUCUUAAAGUUACUUACUGUACAAUUUCUCUCCUGUUACCUUGAAGAUUUCUGUCAUGAAAACAAUAACUCAUGUCAGACGUUUUGAAAUAGCAGGCUUUCUCAGUUAUUAUAUUUUCUCUCACUGUUAAAUAAAAUUCAUGUCCUCUUGAGUCACAAUUUUUAUUGUUCUAGUGGUUCCUGGUGGACUCUGAAGUGUUAAUUAGUUUGUCACUUGACUGCCUAAAGAGUGCUGUGACACGCAAAAGUGAGAUGUGACUUUAAAAGCCACUGAUAUAUUAGAUGUGUACUUACCUUUUCUAUUGGGGAAUUCUCUUCAGUUUUGAGAUAAAGUUGCCACUGAUCUAGCUGUGCACUUAGCAAAGAUAUGGCUUGUGAGUUCUGUCCUACUGAUAAUGUCUGGGAAUUUCACAUGUAUAAACCUCAGUCAAUGGAAACGUUAUUUGGCUUUCUCUAGAAAUUACUUUCCUGGAAUUUACCAGCAAGCACAUUCUCCUUAUUUCUCAGCACCCUAGGAAUACAUUAGUGUCUCUAUGUGUGUAUAUACCUUUGCUUCUGAGCAUAUCUACUCAUUCCAGUUGUCUCGUGCUUAGACUGGAUCAUUCUAUGGUAUAUUUUCAGAAAUUUCUCAAAGAUUCUUAAUCACCAGCUCUGGGAGCUGGCUUAGUAACGCUGGCUACCUUCACUUCUCUGUAUCACCUCUUGGCUUAUCAGGAGGCCUGAAUUUGGAAGUGUCAGGAAAACCCAUUGCCUCAGUUUCCCUUUGACUGCCAUUUUUCAUCUUAUCAGAGCUCAAAGAGCCUUUUGUUUGCCUCACUUGUUACCUCUCUUCUGCCUACUUUCUAUGAAGCCACUAGCUUGCCCAGAAGUUUGCCCAUACACAAGAUCUGCUCACUACUCAAAGCACAUAGUAGGCACAUCCAAGGAACCAUAUGUGUCAUCAAACUACUUCUGCAUGGUCACUGCGGAAAGAGAACCUAUUUUUGUUAUCUAUUACUCAAAAACAUUGUAAAUCACAAUCAGUAUUUUUCAACGUUCUCCUGGUUCUUUGGACUCCGCUGGGAGAUAGGUCCAUUCCACUUUGUGUUGGCUGUUGUCUCUCAGGUAGCUGUGUCCCACUGGGACUAAAACAUUCAUGAUGGCUUCUUCCACCCAUCUGGUACUUCAACUGGGGUGGAAACUGGCUGGAGAUCGCCUGUGCUUCUUUUUCGUUGUGCAGUCUCUUAUCGUGUUAAAAUCUAGCCCAGGUUUCAUGUCUGGUUUCUAAGAAAGUGAAAAUGUAAGCUCAGGCCUUCUUCAGUGGUAGCCCAAGAAGCCCCACUAAACUCUCAUUGUUUCCUUCACUUGGUCAGAGCAAGUUCUCAGCCAGCUCAGAUCCAAGUGGGAAAGAGAUAGUUUCUGCAUCUUCUUUUCUUACUAAGAAAUGCAUUUGAAAAAAUUUUUAUUAGCGUGCUUCACUAACACAAAAUGGUCAGGUUCAUUUUGGAAAUUAGGUAUAUACAUUUAAUGAAUCUGGAUCAUUUUCAGUCCUAUUACCCAUUCACCCCCUUUCACCUCUCUGAAUCCUCUUUCCCAUGUCCAGAAUUCUACCUCUCAGUUUCCUGUCAUCUCUUAUUUAUUCAUUUACUUGAUUUCUCAUAUAAGAAAAAAUACAUGAUAUUCACCCUUAUUAGUCUGAAAUUUUUUCUUUUUUCUUAACUAAUGGUUGUUCUCCAGUUCCAUCCAUUUCCAUAAAAAUUACAUGAUCUCAUGAUUCUUUAUAGCUGAAAAAUAUUACACUGUGUGUAUAUAUGUCACAUUUUCUUUUCCUAUUCAUUUUUUUGUGGCCAUGUAGGCUGUUUGCACAGCUUAGCUAUUGUGAAUUGUGUUGCUAUAAAUAUGUGUAUACAUGUGUUGCUAUUUCAUGACAUCUAAUUUUUUUUAGGAAUAUACCCAGUAGUUGUAUGGCUGGAUCAAAUGAUAUUUCUAUAUUUAGUUUUUUGAGGGAACUCCAUCCUGAUUUCCAUAGUGGUUGUACUAGUUUAAAUUCCCACCAGAAGGAAUUAUUCCUUUUCCCUGAAUUCUUACCAACAUUCACUGUUUUGUGUUUUGUGUUCUUGAUGAUAGCCUUUCUGAGUGGGGAGAGAUGGAAUCUCAAAGUAGUUUUGAUUUGCAUUUCUCUAACGACUAAAAAUGUUCAACUUUGUCUUUUAUAUUCUUAUUGACCAUUUGUACUAUUCUUUUGAGAAGUGCCUAUUCAGCUCAUUUGGCUACUUUUUGUUUGAGUUACUUGGAUUUUGGGUGUUUUGUUUUGUUUUUUGUAUUGGAAAUUGAACUCAGAGUCUCACGCUUGCUGGGCACACGUUGUGCUGCUGAGCUACAUCGCCAGCCCCUGGGUGUUAAUUUUCUCACUAUUUUACACAUCCUAGAACUUAGUCUUACAUCUGAAAAUUAGCUAGGAAACAUUUUUCUGUCAUUUAUGAGGAUUGUCUCUUUACUUUGUUGUGUCUUUUGCUGUUCAGAAGCUUUGUAAUUUGACAUAAUCCCACUUGUUGAUUUCUGGUAUUAUUUCCUGUGGUUUGGAGUCUUAUUUAGGAAGCCUUUGUUUGUUCCUAUGUUAUCUGCCAGCGGUUUAGAAGUUUCUAGUUUAAUAUAUAAGUCUCUGAUCUACUUUCAUGUGAUUUCAAUACAGGUUAAGGGACAGAGAUCUAGUUUUAUUCUUUUGCAUGUUUUCAUACAGUUCUCCCGCCACUCUUUGUUAAAGUUUUUCUUUUUCUCAAGCAUAAAUUUUUAAUCCUUUUGUCAAAAAUCAGAUGGUUGUAGAUUCAUGGGUUUUUCUAUGUUUUUCACUCUAUUCCACUGGUCUACGUGUCUGCUUUUAUCUCGGACCUUUUUCUUGUUAGUAUGGCUUUGUAGUACAUCUUAAAAUACAGUAUUCUGAGGUCCUCAGCAUUGCUCUUUUGGUUCAGGAUUGCCUAGGCCAUUGUGGGUCUUUUCUGGUCUACAGGAAUCAUAGGAUUGUAUUUUCUAUGUAAAGUUGUGUGAAAAAUGAUGUUGGUAUUUUAAUAGAAAUUGUACUGAAUCUACAGAUCAUUUUUGGUAAUUUUCACAAGAUUAGUUCUUCUGAUCCAUGAAAAAGUCUUACUAUUUUCUAAUAUUUUCUUCAAUGUUCUGUAUUCUACUUCUUGAUGGAAAGAAUGGUAUGCAUAUACAGAGAGAAGGUAAUUUUUAUAGACAAAAUUGAAAUUACCUGUUGUGGCACCUAAUCAGUGUCACUGGUGAUUCACGUGUUAUUUAUGUUCCUACUUAAUUAUGUAGAGAUUAUUUUUCCAUGUUUCAACCCUGUCUGAAUGACAUGCCUCUCUUUCUUUCUUCUUUUACAAAGCACAGAAGGACCAGGGGGUACAAUAGCAAAGCUCUUCCAUUGGUGACUAUAUUGGUAUUACCUUUGGUAGCUAUUUCAAUAGUACCUUUUCCUCUUAAAAGUCUAAUUAUUUAAAAACAAAAACUUAGUGGUAUGUCAGGUAAUUUCUAAGUCUUUUUUUUUUACAAUGAAUUUUUUUAUUUUAAAGAAAAUAAUACCAAACAAAAUAAAACAGGAUAAAGCCAAUUAAAACAAAACCAUGAAAGUAAUAUAGAACUUCAAAACAAGGUAACAGGAAAUCAACAAUGGCUACCAUAUUGCCUCUUGUUAUCUUCAAAAUAGCUGCCCAUACCAUCGACAUAAUAAAACCAAACUAAACAGAACAGAAUAAAAUCAAUCAAAACAAAGCAAUGAAAGUGAAACAGGGCUUCAAAACAAGAUAAAAGGAGAUUAACAAUGGCUACCAUAACAUAUCUUAUUGUCUUUGGAAUAGCUACCCAUGCCAUCAGAUAUAAUGAAAUCAAACAAAACAAAAUAGAACAAAACCAAACCAAACCAAAUAAUGAAAAUGAUACAGAACAGACAAGAUAAUAGAGAAUUAACAAUGGCUACCACCUUCAGAAGGAAGUCCCCCAUUGUUGCUAUAUUGCAUAUUGUUAUCCUCUAAAUAGAUGCUCAAACAGCCUGAAGCCUGUAAAGUCAAUCAAACAAUACAGGAAUUAAGUUUUGUUUUGUUUUUUUUUUUUACUUCAGUGGCUGUCAUCUCAGCCUGUCUUUCUCCAAAUCAUUCAUUUGCGUGGGCAGAGUGGGACUUGUCACUGCUUGUCUCCCAGACUGCAUGCUGACUGGCUCAUAGCAAGGGGUUGGCCUGGCCCAUGACUGCCAUUGGUUCACAGGAAGUGGUUGGCCCAGUCCACAACUGCUGCUGGCUCACGGGAAAGGAUUGGCCUGGCCCACCACCAUUACUGGUUCACUGGAAGGGUUAGCUUCUUUUUGGCUCUCUUCCCAGGAUGCAUGGCUGCUGUUGGAUCACAGGAAAUGGUUGGCCUUGUACACAACCACUGCAGGCUCACAGGAAAGGCGUGGCUUCUUCUUGGUUCUAUUCAUUGGAUGCAUGGCCACUGCUGGCUUACAGCAAGGGGUUGUCCCAGCCCACAACUGCUGCUGGCUUACAGCAAGGGGUUGACCCAGCCCAUGAUUGCUCCCAGCUCACAGGAAGGCGUUGACUUCUUCUUGGUUCUCUUGCUGGUACACACGGCUGCUACUGGCUUACAAGAAGGAGUUGGCUCAGUCCACUACUCUCACCGGCUCACAGUAAUUAGUUAGCUUCUUCUUGGUUCUCUUUCUGGGGUGUAUGGCCACCACUGGCUCACAAGAAGAGAUUGAUGCAGCCCACCACUGCUACUGGCUCACAGAAAGGGGGUGGCUUCUUUUUGGUUGGUUCUCUUCCUGGGACCCUAAGUAGAUUCAUGGGUAUAUAAACACUGCUAUAACUAUCCAAGUGUUCUUGUCAUGUAAUCUUUUCUCAAGUCAUUUUAUAAGAAAUACAUUAACAAGAAGUUAGAGUUGGCUACUUGCAAAAUUAACAUCAUUGUCCUAGAAUUUUAAUAUGUAAGAAAUAUAGUAAAAUUUCCAUUGUUCUUCUGGAGCUGCUAUUAAAAGGACCUGUUGACAUUUCAUUCCCUGGGGAGACCUGUCAAGCAUUUCUGUCUCAUUAUCUCCUAGAGUUUUCCUGAUGAAAAAAAGUCUAUGGACUUUAACAUUUACCCUCUCCCAUCCCUUCUCAAGAGUUCUUAAAUUAAAAACAAGUGUAGACUCAGUCUUUGGAUAAAAGUGUUUCUUCCUUUUUAUUGCCCUCACUUUUUUUUUUUUUUUUUUUGGUUCUAUUAAAAGAUUUUCUCCUAAAGUCAAGGGAAUUUUUAAGCACUGUUUUAGAGAUAAAUCUAAGAGUCUCAAUUUCUGUGUUUUAGUGUUAAAUAAAAUGAACUUAUUUGCCAUUUGCCCUUUUCUCAGCAGGGAAAUCAUUAUUCAGAUGACUGAAAGCUACACCCUCUCACCUCAAUUUAUAGAUAUUUUGGAACCUCUUUCAGCAUCUCUACAGGAGCAAUUAAAGCAGUAAAGGAAUUUGCAUACUUAAUUUGUCAUAAGUGUGAAGUAAAGCCACCUAAGAAACUAAGAAGUUUCUCAUCAUUCUAUUACUAUCACUUCAUUCCACAUGAAUCAUUUAACCAGAACAAAACUAGUCUCAUCCACUGGAUGCUGGGGAGAGUGUUACAUGAGGCAGAAGAGAGUAUUCAGAGAGGUAUCAUCAGCCAAGCAGCAGGCAGCAAGUUAAUAGUUAGGAGACGAGGUCUAGCAAAAAUGUUAAAGUUCUUCAGAAACUACCCUGCCCUAGGGAGGGGAAAUGCAGGCAUAUAAAUUUUUGGAUCACCAAUUUUGGUCUCUUAGAGGCAAGAAAGUCUGUCAUAGCACAGUGUUGAGUUGCUGUUCAAGGAUUCAAGAGGCUACUGUAAUUUGGAUCCUGAAUGUCCCUGUAAAGCAUAUGUUUUGAAGGCUUGGUCACCAGCCUAUACUAUUGGGAGGUGACAGGAAAACCUUGAAGUGGUUGAUUUUGGUGGAAGGAAGUUAGGGACUGACACAUGCCCUUGCAACUCGUAUUGGGGUCCAAAGCAACAAGGCAAAGUGAACAUGAAUCAAAACCUCUGAAGUCAUGAGGCAAAAUAAACCUUUCCUCAUUUUAAACUGAAUAUUUCAUGUAGUCUGUAACAGUAAUAGAAAGCUAACUAACACAGGAGGAGACUGAAAUUUCAAAUAGGUCUUCAGAAGCCACGUUAUGUUGUCUUUUAACCAACUGUCAGAGGAUGGGAGAAAUCAGGGCUUAUUUUAAUCUAGUCUGAUUUUAUUAUUCAGAGUAUUUCUGUUUUUUUUUUUUUCUUUUUCCUUUUUAUUGGUACCGGGGAUCAAACUCACAACUGCCUGCUUGCAAGGCAAGCGCUUAUGCCGCUGAGCUAAAUUCCCAGUCCCUCAGAGUCCCUCUUAAUUGUCCAGUCCCUCUUAAUUGUGAUCCACAGGAUGCAGAAUUUUAAGUGGAGUUUUUGACCAGAAAAAAUAUUUAAAUGCUGUAGGUACAGACAUUCUUUCCAAGCUAUAUGCCUGCCAUCCAAGCACUUGUGAAACUGAGGCAAUAGGAUUGUUGUGAGUUUUAGGACAGCCUGUGACACAUAGUGAGUUCAAGGACAGCCUGAACCACUACCAAGAUCCUGUCUCAAAAAAAAAAAAAUAAAUAAAUAAAUAAAAUAAAACAGAACGACAGUAAUACAAUGAUAAUAAAAACAAGAUGACAGUGAUGUGACAAGGUUAGACUGUGUUGAGGGUUUAAAGGUAUGGAAUGGUUGCUGAGGGAAGAGGAAAUCUUACUUCUAAGUUGCAAUUAAAACUGGGAUAGAUGAAGACCACUGAAAUCCUCAUAUCAUACAGUGGCUAGAUACGGUCCCUCACUUCCAGUGAAUUCUUAGUCCUUGAAUUCAAGCCUUUGCAGUUGUGUUACCCUAGACUUAGCAGAGAAGGCAAGAAUUAAAUAAAUUAUACAAUCUGAUUUCUCCCCAAAAUAAACUCUGGAAUUCAAUAGACUAUAAUAGAAAGGAUUUUGUACAUUCUAUUAGCUUUAAAAAAAUCUCGUCAGAAAAAUAAUGGUGCUAUAAUUUUUCUGGAAGCUUUCCUUUUUGGUCUUUAUAUCUAUAAUCAUUUCAAGUCAACAAAUACUAUAUUAAAUAUCCUUUGUGUGCCCCAGUAUUAUAUUAAAUGUUUUGAGCAAAGCCAAAUAAGAAUACUUAACUCUUGCUAUUUCCCAUUCAUCGAGCAUUAAUUUUGCCAAACAUAUACUCUUUUUUUAAUGAAUAUGUCUUACUUAAUUCUCACAACAAUUAUUCAAGAUGUUGAAUCCAGUUACUACUGCUGUUUACUACUGUUAUACAACAUAUAACCCAAAAUCUUAGGAACUUAAAAUGACCAUUUGAUAAUUCUUCUGUGUGUCAAGAAUUCAGGCAGAGCACAAAGGGAAUGGUCUGUGCAUGAUUCAGGAACUAAGGCCUCAGCUGUGACAAUUUAAGAGCUGGAGGGCUAGAAUUACCUGGAGGUGUCCUUACCUAUCUAGCAGCUGACACAAGUCAUAGGCAAAGGGUGUUCCUGGAACACCAACAUUUGGCUUUUCCAUGGCACCUGAGCGUCCUUAUAGCAUGGUGGCCUCAGGAUCUCCAACAGCAAGUAUUCUAACUUAUGAAGAUGAAGCUUCACUGACUUUUAUAAAUAGCUUCCAAGUCUUACAGCAUUAUUUGCAAUGCAUUUCAUUUGCUACAAUUGAAUAGCAAAUCCAACUUAAACUCAUAGAGUACAUAGAUCCAUGGCUUGAAAGGGAGUGUCAGAAAAUUUAUAGCCAUGCAUUAAAACAGUCAUAGUUGAAGCAAGCCUAGUCUGAGAACCAGCACCAUGAAUAGCCCCCACUCAACUGGGAACAGCCAGCCCCCAAUCCCUUCUGGUGUGCAGGUUGGCAAACAAGAAAUACCAAUCCCUACCCUCCCACUCCCUCGUAAGUGAUCAGCUUAUCCUGAGAAACACAGGCUAGGAUGAUAGCUUUGGAGGUAAAAUGCAAUAGGAUGCCUGUGGUGCUUUGUUGUUUCACUUACGUUGCAGGUCUAUGGCCAGUGGUCUGAUCAUAGGAUCAGAGGAUAGCGGUACACAGUGUGACAUCUAGGGGGAUCUCCUGAGGGUUGCAGCCAUGGUUGAUUCCCUAUGGUCUUGUUUUCGAAGUCCUAUAUUGUUUCCAUUGUUUUGUUGGGCUGGGUUUUGUUUGAUUAUGUUAAAUCUGAUGGCAGGGGAAGCUAUUUCAAGAAUAGCAAAAUAUAUUAUGGUAGCCAUUUUGGAUUUACUGCAUUUGGAGGUCCUUUAUUGCAUUCAUUGUUUUGUUUUUAUUGUUUCUGUUCUAUUCCAUUCUGUUUGAUUUUUACUGUGUUUGAAAUUAUCUGCAGGUAUUUUGAAGAAUCAAAAGGCAUUAUAGUAACUAUUGUUGAUUUUGUAAUGUUUUGAAGUCCUCUAUCUCUUACGCUAGUUUAUUUUGAUUGGCUUUUUCUGUUUUACCCUCUUUAAAAUAAAAAUAAAAAUAAACAGUCAUAGUCUAUCUUCAUACAAAACACACUUGCCUCCUCCGAGGAUCUCUUAACAGUGAUAUCUAUAAAACCAUAAGGCUGGGCCUGAGGUCUAGUAUAUCAUCAUCAAAAGCAAAAAUAUGCAUGAUGAUAGCUGCUCAGAUAUAAUUUUUUAGGUGAGGGUAUUCAAGUGUACUUUCUAUUAAUCUAAAGAGCUAAGAGUUAAAGAAACAAAUUAUCUAUCCCAUACACAUACACCUUACCACUCACCCAAAGGGGAAGUACAUACAGGUUAACUCUAAUAUAUACACUGACCCAGAAAUGUGGAAGUAGAUCAUAGCAUUUCUGAAAUUCAGUAAUGCAUGUCACCAGUUUCUUGAUCAAAGCUCAGUUCUAGUGUUUAGCAGUUUACCUCUGUUGUUUCCAACUGUGCUCACUGAACCCUGUUCUAUCUUUUAAAAUAGCCUUUCUUUCCCACAAUAAUUAGCCCAUAUUUACAAAUGAAUACAUUUCUCAUCCCUAUUUCUUUCCCUAGUGGUCCAAUCCAAAGGCUUCCCUUCAUUUUUCAGUAUUUCUUUUCCUCUUAGUAAAAUCAGACAUGCUUUUGUCAGUACAACUCUUUGUGGAUUUUUCUGAAUCUUACUUGAGUUCAUACCCCUAGAUUGAAACCGUAAUUGUUAGGUGUACUAUUGUAAUCCCAGCUAUUUAGAAAGUUGAGGCAGGAGGAUUGUAAGUCUAAGCCCAGCCUGUAUAACUUAGGCCUUAUCUCAAAACAAAAUAAACAGUGCUGGGGAUAUAGCUCAGUGGUAGGGUGCUUGCCUAGCAUGUGUGAGGCCUUGGAUCCAAUGCCCUAUAUCACAAAAUCACAAAACAAAGCAAAAAACAGAAGUUCUCUUUAAGACAACCCCUAUUUUAUCUUGGAGUCCCUUGGAGUUUCCGAUCCUAGAAGCUCUUUAACAGGUAGAAUCUAUGAUAUGCCUGUAAGAUUCUUAGAAGUUCUUUUGUAUAUUUGAAAAGCUUCUGAGGUGCCACCUUUGAUCUUGCUGAGGUGUUAACAGAUGGUCUUUAUUAUUAAAUCUUUUUUUAGUUUUUAUAUUUUAUUAAUACAGUACAUGUUUAUCACUUAAUGAUUACAUUCCUUAUGGGUAGUUGGUAUAUAUAACAACUCCUCUAUCUCUUAGUCCCUUUCCCAUUUGAACAAAAUGUAUCUUCCUACUUCUUAUUAUCUAUCUUUUUUUCUCUUUACUUAUAUUUUGACUUUCUCAUAUAAGAGAAACCAUGUGAUAUUUAAACUUGUGUGUCUGAUUUAUUUGACUUACCAUUAUGGUCUCAAAGUACAUCCUACCAAUGAUUCAAAUUUAUCCUUCUUUAUGGCAAAAUAGUAUUUGGUAGUACGUAAAUAGCACAUUCUCUUUCUCCAUUUGUUUAUGGACACAUAGGCUGCUUCCAAGUGUCAGCUAUUGAGAAUUAUGGUGCUAUGAGCACGGGUAUGCGUGUAUCACUAUGAUGUGAUGUCUUCCACUCUUUUAGGAAGAUACCUAUAAGAAGACUGGGUCAAAUGGAAUUUCUAGUUUUAUGUUUUUCAGGAACCUCCAUACUGAUUUCCAGAGUGGUUGUACUGUUUACAUUCCCAUCAACAAUAUAGGAGCACUCUUUUUCCUCCCAUAGCCUUAUCACCAUUUGCUAUUUAAUUUCUUGAUGAUGGUUAUUCUUUCCAGAAUAAGAUGACAUCUUGCAGUUGUUUUAAUUUGUAUCUCUCUGAUGGGCAGUGAUGCUGAAUAUUUUUUAUGUAUUAAUUGGCCUUUCUUAACAAAUGAUCCUACAGCUCCCCUUUUAGAUUUGAUCUCUCCUCCAGAACCACUAGUUAGUUUGAAAAUUUUUUGCCACUUGGAGAUACCAGGAACUCAAAAAGUUGUACUUUUGAACCUAGCAACUCUGGGUCCUUGUAGUUCUCAAAAUUUUGCUUAUGAACUAGAAGGUUUGUAUUUUAGUUAAGCCCUCUUCCCUUGUAAUUUAUCAUAGGUAACAUGAAGAAGCCAGAUGGUCCUUUUAAUAUUUCACAAGAAAAUCUGCCUAACUAGGUCACCAAAUUGUUUAGAUGCAUUGCUUAUUUUUUUCUUUAUUACCACAUGGGACAAUAAGACCAAACCUACCAAUAGGUUAUACAAUUUUGAUUUUCUCUAGCUUUGUAGAACAUUUGCUUUUUUUUCUUUAAGUCCUUACCAAAAGUCUCAACUACCAAUGUAAGGCUUACACUAGUAGUCUCAUUAAAUACUGUUUAGUUACAGCUAGACAGUUAUCUCAAUGCCAAUAUCCCAUGCUUUAGAGUUUCAGUGUAGUACCACUGUUACUUCUAGGUAAUAAAUUUCUGUUCUAUUUGUUAUUUCUACAUAGAUGGCUACUACUUAAAUUAGUGGCCUAAAUCAGCCAUUUAUUAUGCUCUUAUUCUUGGGCUCAGGAAUUUGGGUGGUGACGAGUAGAAAUAGUUAAUGUACUCAACUGGGAAGACUUCAUAAGCAUAUGAGACCUUCAAGUUGAGGGCUAGAAUCAUUUGCAGGUGUCUUCACCCACAUGCCUAGCAAGGGAUGCUGCCUGUUGGCUGGGACUUCAGCUGAGGCUUUCUCCUGGAACAACUAACGUGGUCUCUUCAUUCAAUCUGGGCUUUCUUAUAGCAUGGUGGCCUCAGAGUGGCUAGUCUUCUUAAAUGAUCACUGAAGGCUCAAAUGUGACUAACUCAGUGAACAAAGUAAAGGCAAGGCAAACAUUACUUUCAUGACCUAGUCUCAGGAGUUACCAAGGAUCAUCCCUCAUCCAUCCUAUUGGUUACAAAUAAGUCACAAAUAUACCCAGUUUCAAAAGGAAGAUAGAGACACUCUGCCUUCUCAUGGAAGGACUGUCCAUUUGUGCACAUGUUUUAAAGCACUGAGUAUUGUCUUAUUUUGAAGACGUUAAACAAGUAGGCUGAAUCCAAAUCUCUCAAUCAUGAAUGUGUGUUGCUUCCAAAUGGGCUAGAACAUAAAGAAUAAUUACAGAAAGGAAACCAUUUUGUAUUAAAAGAUAAAUUGUUUAAAUUGGACCUGGAAAGAAAUGAUGAAACAAUCAUUCUGGAUGUUAAUAAAAAUUUUAGAUCAUUUUGAUUUGUUGUUAUAAAAUAAAGUGUUCAUAAUCAUCAAUCACUUGGCUUUCUUAAAAUCAACCCAGACUGGGAAAUAUGUUAGGUCAGAAAGAAGGGAAACUAGAGGCAUUUUCUAUAUGCUUUGGAAUGAGUGGAAGGUGAAAACCUUGAUGGUGGUGAGGAAAGGGCUGGGCAUGUCCAGAAUUACAAAGGCCAGUUUGCUUAAGGAGAGGAGGGAGGUAGGUGUGGGGUAAGGUCCUGACUGGAAAGAUGGAGACGGGUUGUGAAGGCUGCAUGCCAUGUGUAGUCAAUUGGGCUUCACCUAACAGAGCCUUAUAAGGUUCCUGAGCAAAAAAGUCAAAUGAUUUCAUCUUUGUUUAAGAUACAUAAUUAUGUAAAUAGUAUGAUUAUGUAAAUUAUAUAGUAAUGUGAACUAAUCUGUAUUUAAGACAGAAUUAAUUUCAAGAUGCUAGUUGGGUUGGAAUGUGGUAAGACUGCAAACAGAGAACUAGAGGAUAAUCAUCUGGCAUGAUGUUAUUUUAUUUCAGAUGCAUUUUUUUAGAGAAGCAUUAAUUUUUUUUCCCUUAGCUUUCUGCUCCUUUAAAAAACCUGACUCUCUGAACUGCAUUCUAUGACUUAUUAAAUUAUUUAUAUGGUUAUACCUUUAUUCUAUAAAAAUUUUUAUAUAGUUUAAAAGUAAUAUGUAAUAUCACAGUAAUUUUUCAAAAGGUCAAGAUCAGACAAAGACAAUUUUUUUUUUCCAAAAAAUUUACCAAAAACUAUUAUGGAACACUAUGACCCUUUGAGUUUCUUUAAUUAGGCUACAAGUUUGAUGCGGAGUAUCCUGGAAGCCAAAGCAAAAAUACAACAAAAAACCAUAAAUUACUAUGAAACUUGUAUCACCCAAAAGACAAAAGAUACGUAAUUUCCCGUGGAGAAGUGGAGUGAUUGCAGUCAUGGGUUUGAAACCAGGUACCACAUAUAAAUCCAAUGCAAGUAGUCAUUUGAUUCUGAUUUGGUAACAAGUGGCAAAUUAGAUACACUGAGAAAAGUCAGGACAGUACUUUGCCUUCAAGACAUGAAGAUGAUCAAAGGAGGCAUCAAGGAAGGAAUUAUAAAGAAAAAGGGUGAAUCUGUCACAGCAGGUCCUGGCCAGGGUACAGUGAGAAGUCAAGAGGGACAUUACAGGGGGUCUCAUCUCACUCUGCACCUCACAGUAAGCCCAUAUUAAAAAUAUGUGGAGCUUCUGUUUUUAAACAUUUUAUUGUAAGACUGCUAUUAGUACAUGUUUACCGUACAUAAUGAUUACAUUUAUCAUAAUGAUUACAUUAUCCAUUUGUACAUGUACAUAAUACAUCUUAAUUUGCUUUUUGCCCUGUUUUUAAACAAUAGGUAUUUCAUAAGAGAUUAUAAAUCUUCUAUUAUGUGCAUAUUUUUAAUCCACACAUAAUAAAAAUGUAACUAUUGAAGAUCCCAUUGCUUUAAUUUAUUGACUUGUAGCAAAGAACCAUAUUGAUGAUAAAAUCCUAACUGCAAAACAGCUUUAGUGUAGAAAUCAUUCCAAGGUCCCUGAAAAGUCAGAAAAUCUGCAGAACCAAGUGUGCUACUGUGCCUAGUCUAUGAAUCUUUGCCAGUCUGAUGUCUGACGUUAAUAUUCCUUCCCUCUCAUUUUUGCCUUUUUCUUUUCACUAAUGAUUCUAUUUUUGAAAUAUAAGUAUUUAAUGCAAAUGGCCAGGAUAAUUUUCAGAGAAACAUACUUAAAGCAAAACAUCUGACAGUCCUGUGCUGGGUGGUAAUGACUCUUGCAUGCGGCAGUCUGAAUCUCCUGAUAGACACAUUUCUCCCAUCAUAAAAGCACCCGAAGCAUUGGUGUAUAAACAAAACCUCAUUUAGUCUUCCUUUUUGGAGCAAGAACAAUUUGACGCCUAAAUUUAUGGCUUAUAUUAAAAGCUCAGGAGUCUGAGAUCCACCAUUUGAAGCAUACUAUCUUUAUUCCCCUCUUUUUCCUAAACCUUCAAAGGAGUACAUUGUUUUUUUCUUAAGCAUCAUUUUCCUAGUACUUAAAGUCCUUUUGGUACCAAAGGUAGAAAAAUUGAAUUUUAUUCACAUUUUCUUGAUUCUACCUCUCAUGUGCAGGAAGUGAUGAUAAAUAGUAAAGGGAGGUGAGAUAACAAAGGAGGUAAAAUCAGUCACAGGUACUAGUUCUAGGCAUGAUCCCAUUGCUGCAUCUCUCUAAAGGGGAGAGGAUCAAGAAUGUUUUAUACGAGUGGUGGGAAGUUUGGUUCUUGGAAACAGGAGCAAUUAUUUUAGCAAUAUUAGACAUUUGACAUAUUCAAAAUAGCUAUAAAAUAGUUAGAAACAUAUUUAGUUAUAGUACACAUUAGUACCCAACCAAAUUUUCGGUGAGUAGCAGAAGAAAUAUUUUGAAGAAAUACCUUAAAGGAGUUAUGGGUAUCCAUUGAAUGGAAUGUACCUUCCUGUAGCAGAAAGAAAACAUCUUAUUCCUCUUUCUGGAUCAAAUAAGACAUCUUCCUGGAAAAGAACUAAAGUGGAGUCUCUGUACACACACACACACACACACACACACACACACACGUGUACCAUAACAGUUAAAGAGAGGAACUUCUACUUGAUCAUUUUCAAAUGAUAUAGAGGUCAGCUCUACAGUGUUCUCACAUGGUGAAGACUGUCACCAUCUGCCCCAUGAUUCUCUUUUCCUCCACUUCUAAAGUUGUAAUGGCUUUUAUGUUUCUCUUCAUUACCAGCAACUCCUAUAUAAACAACGAGGCUAGUGAUGCCCCUGCUUCUGCCUAGGGUUUGAGACAAGAGCUCACGGUCUAAGAUGCUGUGACUUAUUUACGUUAUCCCAUUGAGGUGGUUUCUAGCAGAAGCUGUACUGAUUUCUUGAGAAAUAGUUUGAAAAGAAAGCUUUAGCUCAGAAAUCCAGAGUAAUGGAAGAAUGAUAGAGAACAGAGUUGAUGCACAUAAAAAUGAUUAAAAAUACUUGCCAGUCUUCAUUCUAGCAGGUCAUGGACUGGCAGGACAUUUAUCACCUUAAUACUCCAAAAAGAAGGCUUCACAUGAGAAGAACAGCUUUUGUAUAAGAUUGAUCUGUUGGAAUAAUAGAAAAAGCCCAAAGGGAAGCCUGACAUCUUGAGCUGUAAGAUAAACAAAUCUGUACAAGUCCCCAGUCUGUGUUUAAAUUCUUUGCUUUUUCAAAGGGUAGCUAAAAUAGAAUUCUGUGUGAUGUUGGAAAGAGGGCUAAACAGAAGGCCAGGAGAUCAGAUUCUGCCUUGAGUGUCCUGUGCCUCUUUUUUUGAGUUUGAAUUUUCUCCUUUGUAAAAACAAGAAUAAUGAGUACUGUCAUGAAUCUCAUAGAUCUCUUCCAGGUCUUUUGUUGGCAUUAGGGUAGGAGAUACAGAAAGGACAACUAAACAACACAGAAAGCUGCUGGAUGAGAAUGGAGAAACCAGGACAACUAUCAAAAUAUCAGAAAACCAAUAGAUGUAGGUAACUCUCCCCUAAAGAUCCCCAGGCAUGUGUAAAAGCAAAAGUACGUGACCUUGGUCUGUGCUGAAUCUCUUUGUAUUGUGAUUCUGAGCCCUGCUCCAGUAGACUUUGAACACCAUGACAUUCCUCUAAAAAUCUUGUAUAGUCACCCCUCCAGGAGUGAGCUGAGUCAUGUCUCCGCUCGGCCAUGACAACUGUCAGUCCUCAACUAUAGAUCCUCCCAUAAUAGCAGGCCUCAAGAACCCAGUAUUUGCCCUAUCAGGAUCAUGUACUCUGCACUAUGCUUCCCCCACUCUGUGGAGUGUAAUUCAUUUCUUUAAUAAAUCUUACUUUUCUUACUCCUUUUGAAGUCUGCUAAGUUCUUUUUAUGGAAUACCAAGAAUCUGGAAAUAAUUCCCCUGAAACCUUCCAUCUGAUAUAAGUAUGAAAUAGGGCAAUGUAUAAAGUAACAAUACACAGAAUGCUUAGCACAUAGCAGCUACUGGAAUUAAGUGUAUUUUCUUACUUAAACACUGUGACAGCCUCAUAGGAAUUCUCAUUUUUCUAUAAAUAAGGACACUUAAGUUUAGAGAGGCUGAGAAUUUGUAAAUAAUCAUUGUGUAGCAUUUAGAAUUGGAAGGAUUUAAUGGUCAUUUUGUUCAAUCCCACCAUCUGAGGGAGAUACCGCUCUGCUUUCUUACAUUCCUCCUUUUAUUCUAAGUCACUUGUCUUCACUGUGUACUGGUUCCUUUCCCUUCACCAGUGACUUCAUCAUUGCCUGAAACAGUCCUCUGUCCUGUACUUUAUCCUGCUCUUAAACAUCUUCUAGAGUUGACUCAGACACUGCUGAGGGGAUGUAAUAUUGCAUUCACCUCUGUAUUUCUAGCAUCACCAUAAAUCUAGCCACUGAUUGACAGACAAAUAUUUACUCAGUGAAGGAUCGAAUGCAGGAAAUUGAGGCCCAAAGAAAUGAAGUGAGUGGGCCAAUGCCAUGAGACAAAGUGGGUCUCGAAGCAUCCAAAUCUAUCACUCUUUCUACUACAUCUUUGGGUGUUAACUUCAUUUCUUGUUCAAAAGAAUGGAUUUUGAAAUUGAAUAUUUUAAUCAUAAUCCAUUAAUUAAAACCUCAGUGAUUCCCUAAAUGAGUUAUCCACUGUAAAAAUAGAGUGAUAUUUUGGUUAAGAAAAAAUUAGCCAAGGGGAAAAUUAAGAUGACUAAAAUAAGAUUUGGGACCAAUUAAUGAUAUGAGAGUGAGCAGCUAAAAGCAGUAUUCAGAUAUUAGAGAGAAGGCUCAGGGCUGCUUUAUAUUAAUUUUUGCAGCAUAUGGGGUAUUUUGUGUGAAUCCAUUUUGAAGAGUACGAACUCUACUAUUCAGCUAUGCAAAGUUCAGUAUUUUCUGUCAGGAUACAGCCAUAUUAAACUGAGAGGUGAAAAAAUGCAAGAAUAAAAAAUUAUUAUAUAAAGAGCAGUAUUAAUAAAUUAUGUUCAGGAGAACCUGUAACACAGAGGGAGCAUUAUCAUUUUAGGAUGAAAAUUUUGUUCAUCUUUUAAGAAUUGAGAUAAUUUCAAAAAUGAUGUCACCAUGCCACAGCACUGAUAGAUGGUGUUAUUCAUGUCCCUGGGAUAAUUCAUUUUCUUUUUUGCCAGUUUAGUAUAAAGCAAUCACUAUGCCACCUAGUGUUUAUUAAAAUUCAUUGACAAAUGAUAUACAACAACAUCAAAGGAAAUAUGUCACACUUAGAGUAUGAUUUAUUCUUUCAACUUAGGGCAUGGUAACCUGGAAAAUGAAUCUAGCAUCUCAUUAGAAAUGAGCCAGCUAAGAUAAAUCUGAAGUAGAAAAAAAAGAAAGAAAUGACCAUGUGUAUUUUUAAAACUCUUCCAGGCAGGCAUUUUUAAGCAUCUACAAGAGUAUGAAGGAUAGUAUAACAAAUCUCAAAUUUCAUCACUUGCUUUUUAACAAUUAUCAAUUCAGGGCCAAUUUUGGCCCAUUUACACUCUUCUCUCUAACUAGAUUAUUUUGAGACAAGCUCAUUUUUUAUUGAAGCAAGUCUUAUGAUGUUCUUUGAUCCAGAAACAUAUUAAUAUGCAUCCCUAAAGCAUGAGAACUCUUUUAAAAUACAACCAGAGCAUAAUUAUUAAACCUAACCACAUUAACAAUAAUUUCUUAAUUUUAUCAACCAGUUAAUGCUCAUAUUUGAUUAUUUUAUAAUUUUUAAAAUACCUUAUUUAUUUGAAUUAAGAUCUAAAUAAAGUCAAUAUAUUGCAAUUUGUUCAUGUACCUCUUAAAAUUUCCUUUUAUUCACAGAUUUCCCAUCUUCCAUUUUUUCUUCAUUAUUAGUUACUAAGGACACUGAGAUACUUGUCUAUUAGUUUUCCAUAUUUGAAUCUCUGUAAUCUAUGAUGUAACAUGUUUUUCUUUCUUAUGUUUCCUCUAAACUGGGUAGUGAGCACUUUCCUUAGCAAAGACUUGAUUGAUCAAGUUCAUGGUUUUGUGGGUAAAAGUCUCUAAUGGGUGUCAUGUCUUUUACCAUGAGAUACAUACUGUCUGGUGAUCUCUCUGUACUAUCAACACGGUUAGUAAUGAGUUCCUAACUCUAGAUUUACUUUGUGAAGGUUUGUGAAUAAGGUGGUGUUCUAAUUUGCUCACUUUUUCUUUAUUCAUUAGCUAAAAUGCUUUCAAACUUUCCAUCAAUCAUUGUCACAAGGCAAAAUACGUGCAUGAUUUCAUUUUACCUUAACAGCUUUCAAAAUAAACAGUUAAUUCCCUACCAUGUUCCACAUGUGACCAAUGAAAUUUUUUAGCACUAUUGACUAAUGAAUUGAAACACAUUUGAUAUUUUUCAGUUAACUGUAGUUAUUCCUUUGCUGUUUGAAGGAUUCCAUCUUGACCAUCUGGAGACUGUUCAGUUGAGUUUUUGAGAUCUUUGACAUGAUAUUUUAUAUUUUUAACAUGAUUUCAGCCUAACAUGAUAUUUUAGGCUUAUCUUGUACAUUUCUCACCUUAGACCUGAAAGCAACCAUUUAUACAAGAAGCUGUGGUUACUUGAACACACAAUAGUUUUAUCGUUUACUUUGUGAACACUAAUGGUUCUUAUUACUACCUGAGUUAUUGCUAUUAAACCCUCUUAAGGGACAAAAAUAUUACAUAUGAGACUGAAUACAUGUUUUUCAAUUGUAUUCUUAGUUCAUGUUUAUCUUUUGGUUGAAAUAUUGGUAUAGAAUUUUACUUCUUUAGUUUUUACCUUUUAUCCUCAUGCCAAAAGAUUUAGUUUUCAACAUUUAGAAAAUUCUUCGUAUAAUUUUUUUCAAUAUAUUAUGUAACAGUUUCAGAAUGACAAUACCAAUGCUAUUAAAAUUUGGUUGUGAGAAGCAGUUUAAGAUUUCCUAUUUGUUUUUAAGGAUACAGACCAGAGAAAUGUAUCUUAUAUUACUAUAUUUUAUAGUUACUUGAAAUGAUUCUCCUUUCUGCUUUAUGCCACUAAUUUGAUGAACAGUUAAACGUAUUCAUUUCACUUUGCCUUGAUUUAUAGGAUUACAUUAAAAUAUGUUAUAGUCAUUUAGACUGUACUGUGUCACAUUACAACUAUAUAUGGUCACCCUCAUAUUCGUCAUGAAGUAUCAGUUCUACAUUUAAAUAUAUAUACUCAAUACUUAUUACUAUCUUCAUGUUAUUUAGUUGUCUGAACCAUUUGCUAAUCCAUUCUUUUCAAGGACUCAAGAGAACAAUACUCUCUGAAUUUUUGCAUAAUCAUAAUGAUUUAUGUAUAACUUUAAACUUAAAUGUCUGUUUGCCUAGAUACAAAACCCUUGCUCAUAUUUUCCUAGCAUUUGUGAUAUAUUACUCUGUGAUCUUCUAGAACAAAACGUUACCAUGCCAGUUUAAUUGCCAGUCUUAUUUUCUUCUUAAUGAGUGGUUUAGUCAUUUUUCUUUGAUGUCUAAAGGUUUUAUUUUUCCUCUUGAAGUUCAAUAGAUUUCCUAAAUUGUGACUUAUUUUGGCUGCUUUGUAUUUGUCUUCCAAGUAUUUUCUUUAAAUAUAUAGAUUCAUAUCUUCUAUAUAUUGGGAACAUUUGCCUGAACUCUAGUUUCAGUUCUUGCUUUGAUGAUUUCCUUUGAGAGCUCCUAUUAUAUAAGACGUAUUUUAGUUUGUUGUGUGUGGCUGUAAUGGGAUGCUUAAGAUGGAGUAAUUUUUAGUGAAUAGAAGUAUAUUUGAUCCUGGUUGAGGAGUCUGAGAAGUCUAAGGGCAUGGAAAAUAUCUAGAAAGGGUCUUUUUGCUAGGUCACAACACAGAGAAAGGGAAGCAGAAGUAUGUGUGAAACAGGAAAAUUGAUCUGAAUUUAUCCUUUAUUGGGAGUUCAUUCCCCCAAUAACUCACUCCUGAGGUAAUGGCCCUCAUGCACACUCAUGAGAGAAGGAUCUUUGUGACCUAAUCACCUCCUAAAGAUUUCUUUCUCUUUUUUUUUUGUACUGGCACUGGAGAACCCAGAACCUUCACACUGAGCCCUUUUAAAAUUUUUUAUUUUGAGAUAGGAAGCUCAGUCGCUGAGGUGCUCAGGCUGAACUUGAAUUGUGAUCCUGCUGCUUUAACUUUCCAGACAGGCAUAUGUCACCACUCUUGGCUCGCCUCACCUCUUCUGAAUAUGUUCACAAUGGUGAUUAUAUUUCAUCAUGAAUUUUGAGGGGACUUUAAUCCAUAGCAACAAUUAGUUGUCUGUACUUUCUCUUUAAUCUUUGCCCUUUAAUUUUUUAAAUUUCUACUUUUUAUUUUCCUCCCAGUCUCUUUUCUAUUUUUCUCCUUGUGAUGUUUAUUUGCCCUUAAGCUCGUCUCACCUUAGUCUUCAUUUCUGAAAAUAUGGGAGGACUUUUUGGGUGGGGUCACUUUUAUUUUUUUCUCAAGUUCCAUCAGCCCACUUUUCAAGCUUUCCUUUUGUUCAGUCAUGUCACUUUUUAAUUCUGCCUAACGGCAUGCUUCCAUGGGAGCUUCUGUCAUAUUCUCAAGUUCUCUAAGCUGAUUUGGAAAUAAAAGGCUACGGUUUUUAUUGUUGUAAGAUCAUGUCCUUGUAGUAUGACUUUAUUGUCUGUAGGAAUUUUGUUCUCUGCCCUUAUUGUUUUGUUAGAUAAUUGAUGUGGGAUUCCAUCAGUAAUUGCUGGGUCUCCUGUGCUCACAUAGAGGAGGAGUCCCCUACUCUCUGCUCCUGUUGUGUUCUGCUGGAAUCCAGUGAUUUACAUUUCUGAGACACAUUCCUCUGCUUCCCAUCCCAUUGAGUUCUGGCCCUUUUCUUUCUUGUGCCUUUAGUGUCCUUGAUCUGUUCUGUUUGCAACAAGGCUUGGAAGUUUCUCCUAUGUAUGGAGAACCCAUCUGGCUUUAUGAAAGUGGCUUUGAGUAUUUAAGUUCACAAGUAUCAUUGCUGUGAAUUCCAGUUUUUAGUAUUGUGAACAGUUUUUAAUUUAUAUUUUUUAUUUAGAGAAAAAAAGCAAAACAGAAAAAGGGUAGAAAUAAUACAGAAUUUCAAAAAAAUAACAAUAAACCACAAGUUGAUAAAUUUCAUACUGUUAUCUUAGAAGUAGUUGAAAUUACAAAAUCAAAGCAUAAAAAGCAGGUAGAUAAUUGAACAAUUAAAGUACAGACUAUUCUCUUUAGUAAAUUAAUAAACAGUAGUGUGGUUAUCUAUUUUACGUACUUAAACAUAUAUAGUUGUAUCCUUUAGAGCACUUUCUUUCCCUUUCAUUAUUUCAAUAUCUAUUAUACAUUUUGAAUCUUAUUAAUCUUUCAGUUUCUUUUUAUAAUAGCAAGAUGAUAUGAUAUUUACAAAUGUGAGUUUAAUAUAUUUCACUUUAUGAGGAUAGUCUCAAGUUGCUUCCAUUUACCUAUAAAAGCUUCAAAAUCAUCCUUUUUUUAUAGCCGAGUAAUAUUGUAUAAAAAUACCACAUCUUUUUCAUUUAUUCUGUGGUUGGUGGACAUUUUGGUUGUUUUCAAGGUUUAACUAUUGCAAAUUGUACUGCUAUAAACAUGGGUUGCACGUAUAUUGCUGUGACAUGACCUUUUCAAUUUUUCUGGGAAAAUACCUAGGAGGGGAAUAGCUGGAUUGAAUGGAACUUCCAAUCCUACUCUUCUAAGAAAUCUCCGUACUGAUUUCCACAGUGGCUGCACCAGUCUACGCUCCCACCAAUAGUGGAGAAGUGUUUCUUUUUUCCUGCAGCCUCACCAACAUUUGUUAUCAGUUGAGUUUUUGAUAGCAGCCAUUCUUUCCCAAAUGAGAUAAAAUUUGAAUGCUGUUUUAAUUUGCAUUUCUCGAAUGACCAGUGAUGGUGAACAUUUCUUCAUGUAUUUAUUUGCCAUUUGUAUAUCUUCAUCUGAGAACUGUGUGUUCAUCUCAGCUGCCCAUUUUUGGAGAGGAUCUUUGAAUCUGGGGGGCUUGAUGUUUUUCAAUUCUUUAUAUGUUCUAGAUAUAAGUCAUUAGUCUGAGGGGUUGCUGCCUAAUGUUCUUUCUCAUUCUGUAGGUUUUCUUUUCACUCUGUUGGUGAUUUCUUUUGAAGUGCAAAAACUUUUUAAUAAGAUGAGAUCCCAGUUGUUGAUUUUGGGAAGCAUUUUCCAUGCAGUUUGCAUUUUGUUCUAUGAAUUUUUUGCCUGACUCUGGUCUCCAAGAUUUCUACUUACCUUGUCUUCCAGUUGAUUUAGUGUUUCUGUUUUAAUAUUUAGAUCUUUGAUCCAUUUUCACUUUAGGUUAGUACAUGGUGAUAGACACGAGUGUAGUUUCGAUUUCAGCAUAAUGCUUCUUUAGUUUUUAAAAUACAUUUGGAUCUGAGCAUUCCAAGAGUUUUCAGGUGAUUUGGAGCCGGCAAACACCCUUUGGAGUUUAGGCUGCUCUUGCUAGACUGGCUGAGUGGGCUGAGAGCAGACUCUCAUUGGAAGUGGGCACUUACCACACUGAGAGCUGACUCCCAUCUUGGGAGUGGGUGCCUGUUGGUGAUAUGACUUCCAGGCUGCUAGUUGGAAGCUUUUGUUUUUCUUCUGUUUCCUUUUAUUGCUGUUAAUACAUGCAUAUUUUUGCUGUCAGUGGUUUGAAGUCUCCUGCUCCUGGGAAUACCUUAUCACUCUGGUUGUGUGUGUUGUCUAGUGUUUUUCUGUUUCCCUGUAUCAAUUGUUCCAUCUCUGUUUGUUGAGGGGAUUCGGGGAAGAUUAAAAGACAGUUACUCGUGUUAUCUUUUUGUUUGUGGGAGAUUGUGGAGCAACUGUGGUAAUGCAGAUAUUUUUAAGCAUGUAAAUAAAACCUGAGGUGAACUUUCAUGUUUUUUUUUUUUAAAUGUUACUGUCUUUCUUCUCCAUAAAUAUUGGUCCUGUUUGAAUAUACAAUAAAAAUCAUGGAACAGGAUUUGGAAAAUGUCAAGGAUUUCGAGGCAGAAGGCUAUUUUGUCUGUGUUCAUAACCUUAUGGAAUAAAUUGUUCCAAAUUCCUUUAAAAUAAAUACUGAGAAUUAUAGCCUUUUUUCUUGUGAUAAGCCUCCCAGAAAUUCAAGUUUACCGAAUGUAUGAAUAAGGCAAGAAACACAGCCAGCUGAAUGAAAAUGAAAUGAACUUCUACACUUUCAAGACCUGCCUAUUAUUAGUCUGUUACUAUGCAGUAUGCAACUGCCAACAUCUUACAUAAUGUUUUCUAUUCAAAAUAAUGAAUGACAACAUAUAAUUUCUGAUCACAUGGUACAACAAUUAACUUAUGUAAUUGAUUUUUAAAAACUUUUUUUGUAUCAAAAGACAUGGUUUGUUAUAGGGAGUAAUUAAGUUCAAUUUGCAGCAUACAAAAUCAUUUCUUUUGUCAACUUCUUUUGUGUGUAUAGCCAGUGCUACCUUGAUUGGUAUGUCCAAACCCAGGAUAUGAUUUCAGUCAACCACUCUGCUGUCUCCGCUGGUAUCAUAUUUGACUCUUUCUACUUUUCUUCCCCACUGCUCUUAUAAACGAGCCAUAGCAUGAUGAUUAUUUUAUCUACAAUGUCUCUAAAAUAUUUUCUAUUUCUCUCUUAUAUCCUAGUCAUUGCCAUCUCUUUUGCCUGGACCAUUUUAAUAUACACAUUUCUGUUCCUCCUGCCCAUUCACUGUAUUUUGAAUUUUCAAAGCAUAAAUCUUACUGUAUAAUUUCUUUGCUUAAAACUCUUUAAAGUCUUCUCAUUGCUAUGUGGAUAAAAUCCAAACUCCUUGAUGUGACUUUGAAAAUCCCGACCCUCUACACCAUAUCUAUCUGUUUAGCUUUAUUGUGUUGAACUUUCUUGGCUUCUUUUUUUUAAUAGUUAAAGUUUAUUGCAUUUAUAAUUUCUUCUAUAUAUCAUUCAGUCAUGCAAUUUGUGUCUUAUAAAUUUUAUGUCUAUGCAUCUUAAACUAACCAACACUGUAUAAUUCUUGGUAUAAAUACUUGUCUGAAAUGGAACAAGAAAAAUAACAGAAAGAUAUGUUUAAACUGUUGAUUAUGUUCAGUUAUAUAAUUACUUUAGACAUAAUCUUUAUUUCUUCAUGUUAAUUUAAAUUUUUUUCUAAUGUCUUUACUUCAGGAUAAAAGAGUAUCAUUAAUAUUUCUCUUGUUUUCAAAGAAUAUCAAUUUUACUGGUACACUUUAGACAUACACAACAGUCACAUUCAUCAAAGGGAAUUUGGACCUAUAUGUGAUGUAACUUGAUUCCUUUUUCCCAUCCUCCUACCCUCCUUCAACCCCUCUUCUCUUCCUUAUUUACAAAAGGUUUUUUCCAUUUUUUCCUUAUUUUCUCAUUUUAAAAAUUUUCCCUUUCAUCCUUCCUUUCCCCAUUCCCCCAGCCUUGUUCCCCUCCCCAUUUGAACAUUUCUUUCAUAUUUCACAAUAUCUGUUGCACAUUUUGGCUCUUAAACUUUUGGUUUCUCACACCAGAGAAACAAUGUAAUAUUUACACACGUGUAUCCAAUUUAUUUCACUUAAGAGUAUGUUCUCAAGGUGCAUCCAUUUACUUAGAAAUAUACCCUCCAUGAUGGCAGACUAGUUCUAUAUUAAAAAGGUACAUCUUUAUCCAUUCACAAGUUGAUGGGAUUUGGGCUGUUUGUAAUACUUGACAAUUAAAAACUGUGCUACUAUACAUGGAUGUGCAUAGAUUGCUGUGGUAUGAUGUUUUUAUUUUAUUUUUAAACUUUUUAGUAUUGGUAUCAAACUUUACUUAUUUUUUAUUUUAAAGAGAAUAAAAUCAAGCAAAAUAAAACAGAAUAAAGCCAAUCAAAACAAGCCAAUGUAAGUGAAACAGGACUUUGAGACAAUAGGAAACCAACAAUGGUUAUCAUAAUGCCUCUUGUUGUUUUCAAAAUAGAAGCCCAUACUUUCAGACAUAGUAAAAUUCAAACAAAACAGAAAAUGAUAGAACCAAUAAAACAAAACAAUGAGUGCAAUAAAGGACUUCAAAACAAGAUAAUAGUAAAUCCAAAAUGGCUGUCAUUAUUUAUCUUGUUGUAUUUGAAACAGCUGCCCAUGCCGUUGGAUAUAAUAAAAUCAAACAAAACAAAACAGAAUAAAACCCAACCCAAUAAGACAAUGAAAAUGACACAAGCUUUAAAACAAGCUAACAGGUAAUUAACAAUGGCUACCACCUUCAGAACGAGAUUCUCCACAGAUGCUACAUUGUGUAUUGUUAUCCUAUCAGUAAAUAAUCAUACCACUGGCUUUAGACCUACCUGUAAAGCCAGUGAAACACUAACCACUACAAGCAUUAACCCUCAGUAGCUAUCACUGUAGCCUGUGUUUCUCCAGAUAAGCAAGUCACAUACAACAGGGUAGGAGGGUUGGCUUUUCUUGUUUCCCAGCCUGUGUGCAGGAAGGGGCUGGCAUCUGGCUGUCCCAAAGUGGCCCACAAUAGUACCAAUUCACAGGGAGAGCUUGCUUCUUGUUGAAUUCUUGUUCUUUUUGCCUGCAGCCUGUGAAUUUUGGGUAUGAUGUUUUUAAUUCUUUUGGGAAGAUACCCAGAAGGGGAAUCGCUAGGUCAAAUGGAAUCUCUCAUUUUUAUUUUUUGAGGAAUCUCCACACUGAUUCCCACAGUGGUUGUGCCAGUCUACACUCCCACCAACAGUGGAGAAGGGUUCCUUUUUCCCCACUGCCUGCCAGCAUUUGUUGUUGGUAGAUUUCUUAAUAACAGCCAGUCAGUCUGGGAUAAGGCAGAAUCUCAGAGUUGUUUUAAUUUACAUUUUGCAAAUGACCAAUGAUGUUGAAUUUUUUUCAUGCAUUUAUUUGCAAAUUCUAUUUUUUCAUCUGAGAAGUAUAUAUUCAUUACAAAUGUCCAUUUUUGAAAUGGAUCUUUAAUUUUGGGGACUCUGAUUUUUUUUUGAGUUCUUUAUAUAUUCUAGGUAUUAAUUGUCUGAGGAUGGAGAAUAGCUGGCAAAUGUUUUUAAAAAUGUUCUUGAUUUUAAAGAGAAUAGAACAAAACAAAACAAAACAGAACAGAACAAAACACAUCAGAACAAAACAAUGCAAGCAACACAGGAUUUCAAAACAAAAUAACAGGAAAUCAACAAUGGCUACCAUAAUCUCUCUUGUUUUCUUCAAAAUAGUCCAGAUCUUCACACACAAUGAAUUUAAACAAGAAAGAAUAGUAUAAAACCAACCAAAAAAAAAAAAAAAAAAGAAUGAAAGCGUUACAGGCCUUCAAAAUCAGACAAUAGGAAAAUCAACAAUGGCUACCAUAAUGUUUCCUGUUUUCUUCAAUAUAGCUGUCCAUACCGUCAUACAAAUUGAAAUAAAAUAAUACAAAACAGACUAAAACCAAUCAAAACAAAGAAUAAAAGCAUUACUUGACUUCACAACAAGAAGAUAGGAAAUCAGCAAUAGUUACCAAAAUGUCUUGUUUUUUUCAAAGUAGCUGUUCAUAUCAUCACAUGUAAUAAAAUCAAUUCCUACAAACUCUUUAGGAGAAGUUCUAGGCAUGUAUAAGCCUAUACAUGCACAUCUAUCUUUUCUGUAUUAGAGGAAAAAACAAAACCAAAACAAUACAAAUUAUGAGAAAAACAAGAAACAAAAGAGACAAACAAAUAGCAAAGACAAAGAGCCCCAAACAAUGACAAUGUAGGUCCUCAAAACAAGGGGGUAUGAACAUAACUAAGGUUGUUAUUUUGCAUAGCUAUUUUCAAAAGAGUUGCUCAGAUUACCAGAUAUACACAUGCAAAAUUGAUCCAGUCCUAUGACUGUCAGCUGUUUUGUUCUAAGAACUAAUAGAAUUAGUAGCACAAUUCUCUUAGCUACCUUAAGUGUGUACAUACAAAUAUAUAUUUUUUUCUUUUCCCAUCUUUCUUUUCUUUUUCCUUGAGUUACUUUUUCCCCUUUGAACAGUUUCUUAUCCUUUCAUAAUACUUAUUUAACAUUGAUGUUCAUAACUUAUAUGUAUUGAUUUAUCCUUGUCAUGUUAUUUUCCUAUUGUUAGCUCCCUUCUUUCCACUCUGUUUACUUGUUUGCCUUGCAUGGUACAUUCAGUCUAUUAGAGUUCAUGUAAUUGUAGUCCUUGUUAUCUCUUUCUAGAAUGUCUUUCAGAACAUUGUGAGGUGUUGGUUUGGUGAUCAUAAAUAUCCUUAUGUAUUCUUUGUCAUAGAAAUAUCUUAUUUCUCCAUCAAUUCUGAAAGAUGGUUUCAUGGGAUCCAUCAGUCUGGGUUGGAGUAAGUUGUCUUUUUGGAUUUGAAAUACUUCACUUCAAAUUUUCCUUGACUUGAGAGUUUGUGUUGAGAAGUCAUUGGUGAUUCUGAUGGGCUGUCCAUUUUAUAGGUGAUUUGUUUCUUUCUCUAAUAGCUUUUAAUAUUCUGUUCUUGUGUUGAAUUUCUGGAAUCUUAUACUAUAUACCUCAGUGUAGAUUUUUUUAAAAUCAUGGCUAAUUUGAGGUCUAUAUGCCUCAUUUGUUUGUAUUCUUUUUUUUCUUCCAGGCAAGUUUUCUAUCAUGCAUCUGUGAACAGAUUUUUUAAAAAUGUUAUUUUAACUAUCUCCUACUUUUUCAUUUAUUCUGAUCAAUAUUAUGUUAUACUUCUUUGCAUCAUCUAGCAGCUGCUGGAUUUUCUUCUCAAGGUCCCUUGCUAUUUUUAGGAAAUCCUUCUUUUCAUGACCACUAACCAUAAUCCUGUCUUAUAUAUCUGAGAUUCUGUACUCACACUGACUCAUCCUGUAGUAUAUAUUUUCAGUGGUUUUUUUUUCUUUGUUUGUUUUGUUUUGUUCUCCUGGAUCUAUUAGAAUCUGUUUCAUGGAUUUCCUUUUUUUCAUAUGUUGGGCAUGCAUAAAUUCCAUAAUUUUCCUAAGCUUGUAUUUUUUUUAUCUGUAUCUGCUCUAGAGUCACUAAUCUGUCUUUUAUUGUGGUUACCAUCUCUGUAGUUAUCUGAGAAAUUAUUUCUGAUUUGAUUUUUUCUAUAACCUUGUUCAUUUGACUUGUUAUUUCUGCUGUUACCAUUUCAGCAAGGUCAGGUGGGUGACUUUCCAAUUGUUCCACCUCAUUGCCCCCUGGAUUUGCCUUUGGUGAACUGGAUGUCUGGAGUUGCAUCUUAUUUAAGUGUCUUCUCAUUUUCUUUUUCAUUUUUUAAUUUAAUUCCUGGGUUGAUAUUUGUAAAUUGCUUAUGGUGAGUAACUUUACUGCUAGUAUUUAGAAUACUUCAGAAAUGACUACUUUUCACAGGUUUCUUCCAGGUGGAGUUGGCUUUUGGAUUUUGAGUCUGUAGCAAUAUCCCACCUUUUCUAUUCAUGGGGGAUGAGAAGUUGCUGCCUACUUGGCCCAGGCUGUGGUUCUGGCCUAUAUUAGUUUUUAUAACCCUUAACAAUCUUAGUCUUGGUAUACCAGGAAGAACAACUGGUUAGAACAACCAUGUCUCUUUGAUCAAUAUAAUCCAAUUAGGAAUAACAAAUGUACCAAAUAGAAACUAGAAAAUGACAAACUGAGGUAACUAAUAAUUUCCACCUUUAAUCAUAUGAAUUGCAUUUGGGGCUUUACAACAAACUUUAAAAUAAGUCUUUAAUAUUCCUAUUUUACCCUCACGGGAGAAAAGUUAAAAUGCUUUGGAGGGAUAGAUAAAUAGAAUAAGAAAAAGAAAGGCUGGAAGACAAGAAAAGAUAAUGCAAACUUUGGGAAACUGGUGCCAAAGAUAGGAAGGAAAGAAAGAAGAAAGAAUUUAAAAGAAUAACAGAAGAGAGCAAUGACCACAAAAACACUAUAAACUAUUUACACAAUCAUAUAAAACCAAGAAAAGUAAUGAAGAAAACAUAAAACAAAAAAGUGAGAGAGAAUAAACAAGCAAGAGAAAGAGAGAGACAGAGAGAGAGAGAGAGAGAGAGAGAGACAGAGACAGAGACAGAGACAGACAGAGAAAGACAGAGAGAGAGAAGCCAAAGAAAUUCCGCUUCAAGGUGUGUCUUUGCUGUCACUGGUGGAUAAUAUGAGCAGAACCCUGAUCUGUGAUGAUUAAUCCUAGCAAACCAGCAGUAGUUUUCUGGCAGAGCAGUGGAGAAUCUCAGUGAGCAUGUACCUUUAUUUUCCCUGAAGUUCAGGGUGAUUUCCGGCUGCGAGACUGGAACAAGACCCAUUCAACUUGCAGCAGUCAAUGCCCCUUCUGUGGGCUUUAACUCAGCUGGAGACCAUUAGAUGAGGCCAGUAGUUGUUCUGAGCUUGAAGCUCAGUUGGUUCCUCUCCAAAAUGUCUUCUAGCCAAUCACCUUCUCCUGUGGGAUGUCUGAUGCUGAAGUAUUCACCACCGGCCAAUGCAGUCCUCCACAUCCACUGCUCCCUUUCACUCUUGUGUCUCUCUGUGGAGGUGUCUGGCAUAGUCAGCAGUCACACGUGACCAUGUGACCAUGUGACCGUGUGACCAUGCAGGUGUGAACUGCCCCUCCCAUGCAGUGAGUCUGGGCUCAGGGAGAAGAUUCUGCCUGCCACUUUCUUCUUCUUCUUCAUUGAAAUUUCUCUUUGUGCUCUCCUUGUGGACUUCAAUUCUUGCUUUUGAUUCUUCCUGGGUCCAGAGGAACCAUUUCCCUCUUCUUCUCUUCGUGUCUUCCUCACUUUGCUACAUCCCAGUGUCUAUAUACCAAAUCUUGGGGAGGCUCUUUCUCUGUUGUUCACUCAUCAUCUUCCCAGAUCCCCUUCCUUGGCCUUUUUUUGGGGGUGGUGGUAUUGGGGAUCAAACUCACAAUCUUGCGCUUGCCAGGCAGAUGCUUAUGCCACUGAGCUAAAUCCCUGGCUCCUUAGCUUCUGAACCAUUCCUUUAUAGUCUGUUCUCUGUCUGUCUCUGUCUCUCUCUGUCUCUUUUUGUCUCUCUGUCCCUCUGUCUCUCUCUCUCAUCUAUCUGCAAACACACAUGUUUCCUAUUGGUUCACUUUCUCUUAAGAACUAUGACUACUCUAAUAUUUUAAGGUAUAAAAAUUAAUGCAAAAAUAUCUAUAAUAAACAAAAUACCAACACUUUAAAUAAACUCAAAAGCAGUCACAAUGCUAUACUAGACAUAUUGGAGCCUAUGACAAAAGGAAACCAAUCAGCCACAACAUUCUUGUCUUUAUUUAAAAAUGUAUUAUUUGCCCAUCUUGGAGCUCUUUGCAUUGAUUCUUAUUUAUUAAAAUAUCAUAUGAAGGGCUGGGAGUUUAGUUCAGUGGUGUAAAUGCCUUCCUGGCAAGCACUAAGUCAUGAAUUCAACCCCUGGUACCAAAAAAAAAAAAAAAAAAAAAACAUAAGAAAAUAUCAGUUCUCUAGAACAAUAUUUUAGAAUAUCAUCAAAUUUUAUGAUUGAGGUAAACGUCUCAUUUGUCUCACUUUGUCCUACCCAGUGUGGUCCCUUAGACCUCUCCUCCUCUCUUCCCAUACCUGCCUUCGUGGUAGCAUGAUCAACAGAGCAACAGAUUCUCUCUGCUCCUGCCUCCAAGAGUCCUGUGAGGGAAAUGGGAGUCUUUCCCAGUAGCUCAAGUCAGUAUUGGCUGAAUUCAGUUCACUUUCUUCUGUCUAGAAUUCCCGUGCACUGCUAUGUCCCUUUGAUAUCUGACCAUGACCGUUGCCCCCUUAGUAUCCAAACUGGAUGACUUAGAAAGCUGUACUUUCUUUCAUGCUCAUCCAUAAAUUCUACCAACACAAGACAAACGUCCUCAGACAAGUUUUAUAGAGGACUUCAAACAAUGGAAGAGGGCAGCACACCACACAUGGAAACUGAGAAAUGAAGCGUAGAUGUCACUUUGGUAGGCAUUUUUUCUUUGUUUCUUAUUCUCAGUCAAAGUAUUGCUAACGUGGUGCAUAGUACACCUCCUAAAAGUUUACCAAUCUGGCAACUGGUUUUGAACUGGAAACAAUUGAGAAAAACAAAAACUCUUUGUUUUGCCCCACUGUGUCAGUCUGUUCUCAGUCACUGUUACAAAACAUUUGAAAUAAUCAUCUUAUAAGGAGAAGAGAUUUAUUUUGGCUUAUGGGUUCAGAGGUUAUAGUCCUUGGUUGCUUGGCCCCAUCCUUUGGGGGCUAUUGUGAGGUAAAAUAUCAUGGUGAAGAGGGCUCAUUGGAAGAAAUUUGCUCAAUUCAUGCAUCCAGGGAGAAGAAAUGUAAGUGAGGUUGCCGGGGUCCCAGUAUCCUCUUUGAGUUACACUUCCCAUAACUUCAUUUCCUUCUGCUAGGCCCUGCCUCCUGAAGGUUCCCAGUAGACCAAACAUUUAGCACAUGACUUGUAGGGAACAAUGCAAGACAUUUCAGACCCAAUUCAUAACACUCAUCUACAAGGAAAGGCAUUUGCAUCUUUUAGAGUCUAUCAGUGCAGGAGACAACACUAGAGGAGUUGGAGCUAACACUCUCCAAACACCCUUAUUUUCCAUUAGUUCUCCAUAUAUUUAUCUUCUAGAGUUUGUUGUCCAAAAAAGCGUGAAGUCUCUUUCUUUGUCUUCACUUCUCUACUAAAUUAUGGUUCUUUGUUAAGAUAUCAUAGAAGUGCAAAAUCUAUUCAUGAGUCACUUAUCACCGAGCUCUCUGUGUGUAUGCACAAUGAAUGCAUUCAUAAAUUUUCGUUUGUUUUUCUCUUGUUAAUCUACCUUUUGUCUGUUGGGUCUGCAGGAAUCCAGCCCAUGAUGAGUAGAAGAAAAAAAAAUUUUCACCACCUUCACUCUAGUUCUGUCUCCUAAACUCCCAUUAGAAGACACAGAUUCCAUUUUUGCCCUUUAAUUUAGCAAAACAACUGAAUGUUUUUUUCUAAUUUCUCUUUUUUAUCACUUGACUAAUUUCUAACCAAAAUGUUCAUCAAGAUAGAUUUUUCCAAAUUAAAUGCCAUUUUCCAUUAAAAUGAAAGGAUAAAUAUUUUUCUUGCUUAAAAAAAGCAAAGUUUACCCAUCAUUUCUUCAAACCACUGAUUUUUCUGCUUAUAGAUUUGGUAUUUGCUAAUGGUUUACUGUUUGCUAGCAACUACACUAGACACUUUUCAGACUUUUUACGUAUUUUCUAUUUUUUACAAUGCAAUAUAGACAUUGUCUCCAUUUUACCAAUGAGACAUGCAAGGCUUAAUGAAUAGAAUAGUGUAAUAUUUUGUUUAAAAUCAUAUAGUAAGUGGGAGAAAAAAUUUGAAUUUAGAUUUAGCUUUCAGGCAUGAGCAUUUGCCAUGAGACUUGCUGUUUCAUUUAAUUUAGAUCACCUGCCAUUUUCCUCUUUCUUUUCCUCCUUCCUUCCUUUAUCUCUUCCCUUCUCCUCCCCUCCACACCUCUUUUCCUCUGCCAUGCUCCUUUCCUCUCCUUUCCUUUGCCUUCUUUUAUUUCCUCAGUAUUUGCUCUAAACACUAUUAUAAGUGCUGGGAAUACAGCAAUGUGUAAACCAAAUCCUUGUCUCAGAAGUUUACAUUCAAAUUAAGACAUAAGUAGAUACAGGCACUAAUAUAGCAAAUUGUAUGUGAGUUCGGAGUGUGUUUAGUGUAUCAGAUGAUGUCAAGUGCUGAAUCCAGUCCCUGUCCACAACCCCCAGAGGCAAAUGAUGGGGACUAGGGAGUGUAAUGCAGAGAAAAGCUGCACAAGGCACACGUAGCUCAAGAUCCAGUCAUUUGACAUUCACAGUUUAAAUUCUAUCACCUCUCCAUACGCAUCUUUAUUAAGAGAAAGAUGUGUGAUUUGUGUCUUUGUCUCUGUAAUUCUAAAUGUUUUAGGUGAAUAUUUAGGAUAUUGCAAAAUCCUGCUGCCAAAUGCACCCCAAAUUUCUGCAGCACAGCCUUCUGAAGAGAGGCAGUUGAGCUUGCUUACUACCGAGAGCAGGAAGGAAGGGUGCACCCUCCACGGAUGUUCUACAGUGUUUGUGCAGGAAAGGUGAGGCCAGGCUUUACUGGGAAUUAGAAGCUUGGUUUAAGGAAUGGCUUUCAAAGCAGUUUGAUUAGGUUAAAUAUCAAGUAUAAUAAGUUAGGAUUGGUAACAAUAGCAAAGCAAGAUAUUUGAGGCAAGAGGUUCAAAUGUCUCAAUCAUGAAACCAGCCUAGUGGUACUUUUUUGUGAAGUACAACUAGAUCUUCCAGGAAGCCCGGGAUUGAGCAAUCAAAUCAUUUGGCAAGACAAGAGGAACCUGGAAAAUAAGGCUAAGCUAAUAAAGUCAUGCUAAUAAAGCUAUAAAGAUAGUAGAGUAAUUAAUUUAUGUUAGUGCAGACACUUUGCUUGUGUAAGUAAAUGGAAUGCAUAGUAACCUGAGUUUUAAAAUGUUCAUGUAAUUUUCAUAAAUCAUAAUAUAAAAUAAAUUUUUAAAUUUUUGAAAAGUUAGGUUUGGAAACUGCAAUGUCAUGACUAAAAAAUGAUUGUCAGUUUCAAAUUUGUUUCCUCUAUUAUCUGUUCUGAAAUUUCAGAGAUAUUUUGACAUUUAUUCUUUUUGGCAUCUGGCUCCCAUUAUCUAAAAUAGGACAAAAUUUUUCUUUCUGCCCCAUCUUAAAUCUGUACAGAUGAGUUAUGGGGAAAUGCAUUUUUCUAUCUGCCUAAAUUGGCUGUGAUUCAAGUAGGGGUGAUUCUAGGCCAAUAUAGUUUUCCUUUACAACUUUAUGUUUCACCACCCAAUCACUAGGUAUUUUUUUGUUUCCCCCAUUUUAGACUUGUCCCCAAUUUUGUCCUCAGCUUUCUAUAGAAGUGAUCCUUUUAUCAUGGUGGCAGUGGUUAGAAAGGGAUAAGAAGGUAGGAGGGUAAAGAUUUGUUUGGCAAGUUCCCCAAAAUAUUUUUUAAAAUGCUAUGGCCAAUUUGGAGGAGUGAGCCAUAAUUCACAUAUGGGGGACUGGGCUAUUCAUCCUCUGAUGCGCUCAACUAUAGCACAGCUGUCAGGCUGAGGAAGUUAUAAAUCUUCCUACAAGUUAGUGUUCACAUUUAAUUAAUACUAAUAGGCGAAGCUGUCUCUAAAGGGAGACAAAGCGAUAGAACAAAGUCCCAGAAGCAGAUAAUAAAAGUAGUGUGUGAAAGUUUUAUUUUCUAGCAGUCCAGUCGAAUAGCUAAUACAAUCCUCUGUGGAUAUUUUCCUUAGUUUGUUUCUUAGAAUGGUGCCUCUGUGGUUUGGAUUUGAGAUAUUCUAAUGCUUAAGAGAUCAAAUUUUUUACUUGUUCUUAAAAAAGUUAGGACAACACACUCAGGCCCAUCAUAUUUCUCAUGCAAGAUUUUAUAGCAGGUACUCCCGUUCCUGACAUCCAUCAGUUUAACCACAGUCCCAAACAGUUUGUUUUGGGCAUUGGGCUAUGACAAUGGCCACAGGCUGUGAUUUCUAAAUGGUCCUUGGGCUCAAUCAAAGUCAAGUUGACUCAGCAGCACUGUGUAAUGUAGGUAUUAAUAGCUCUUGGCCUGCUCCACGCUGCACUUUUACGUGUUUAAAGGCAGCUUGAGUGGUGUCCUUCCCUAAAGCCCUUAAGGCAGUCUCUGUGUAGGUAAUGAACAAUCCAUGUAGAUUUCUGAAAAUGCUCACAGUGCACCCAGUACAGUGUUAUUUCAGUUGUUUAAUGUAUAAUGAGCUUCACCAAGGGAUGAUGGCAAAGAAAGUGUGAUUGAACCUUUCUUCCUGAAUGCCUACUGUUCACCUUCAGAAUCAGUGAAGGGGAUGCUUGAUUAGAUAGCCUUCUGGGGAACUCCCAAAUGUUCCUCUUCAUCGGAAAUGAUCUCAUAACUGCUUUGACUUACACAUAGCCAUCUAUCAGGUGUGGAUAAAGUGGCCCAGAAAUGUCCCAUCUGGAUGGAUUUAUCUUCUUCAGACUCCAGUGAAGGUAAUUUCCCUUCUAUCCUUCUUCCAGGACUGAAAGUUUUACUAAUAAUACAGUAGUCACUCCUCAUCCUUACAAGAUUGUUCCUAGACCCUCCAGUGAUUAGACUUAAUUUAUAAAUUAGGUACAAUAAGAGCUUAACAACAAUAUGCAAUAAUAGGAUGAAACAAUUAUAAUGAAUAAAAGACUGUGAUAAAGUUAUAGGAGUUUGAGCUCUCUCAAAUUACCUCAUUCUAUUUACCCUUCUUCACAUGAGUAACUGAAACCAUAAAUAGAAAAACAUGGUAAUGGAGGACCACUGAAUGCUAACGUCUGUAUAAGCUACUUAAAUAAUUGUUUCAUCUAUUUUGACUUCCUCUUAGGGUAAACUGGGAUGAGUUGCUGAUCUUCUCUCCCCAAAUGGCCCUUGGAGAAACUAGAAGCAAGAAGAAAAUGUGGGUCCAAGAAACAAACAUAAAAAAUAUCAUGAAUCUCAUGAAAGUGUGAAUGGCUGUAGUGAACUCCUAGGUGCUGGCCUCAUCUUGUGUGGCCCUUUUUUCCUUCAGCUGUCAGCAUCACAUCUACAUUUCAGCCAGCAGAAAUGAUGACUAAGAAAUCAUAAUAAAAGAAGGUGAAAGACAAGAUCCCUACUAUUUUUUAAAAGCUGUAGUCAAAAGAUGAACACAUCACUUCUACUAAUAGCUCAUUCCCAGAAUGGCCUUGAACUUGUGAUCCUCUUGUCUCAAUCUCCCCUGUGCUGGGAAUAUAGGUAUGUGCCACUUCACCUGGAUGUGACUUAAUUCUACAGGAGUAUAGGUUGAAUUAAAACUCAAAGAUUGUGUAACAAAAUGGAAAAGGAAGGAUUUUGUUUUUUUACCAUCAUUAUAUACUUAAAACCAAAAUUAUUAUCAUUAAGGCAGGAAAAAAAUAAGACACUAACAUCACCACUGCUAAAUAUUCUAGUAAAUGAUAUAUGAAAAAGAAAUGGUGUAUGAUCGAUGGUCAAGAAAAAGAUUGUUUAUUAGUAGACAUGGCACUAUUUACCUCAAAGAAAAAAAAAAUAACUCAAUAUGCAAGCUACUAAAACAAUUGGGAAAAUAUAGCAACAUUUUUGGGCACAUGAUCAAUUUAAGAAACCAAUGAUUUUAUUUUGCUUGCACAAUCAUUUUACUAACCCAUUAUUCUUAUUGUUAAUAGCUAAACUUUACUGUAGAUAUUUUUCUCAAAUACUAAAAUAAAUGUAUGCUUCCAAAACAGUGAUGUAGAAAUUUUCACAUAGGAAGUAUUUUACAAAUAUGUUCAAGAAUUUGGCCAAUCACCAAAUUCUCACAUCAUUUUUUUCACUCAAGCGGUUGGAGGUAGAUGGAUGUCCUACUUCAUGGAGGUGGGAGAAAGUAAUGGAGGGGAGGAGUCCAUGCGGAGCCUGGGGCUCCCUGUGCCCCCCUGCAGAAAGCCCUGAGGGACUCCAAAGAUGCCCUGUUUGCCUUUGCAGGAGGCUGCAGGCCAAGCUCAUUUUCUUAGACUGUAAUGUGUCGGAGGGCAGAUCUGUGGCUGUGACCAGAGGCCCGAGGCUGGUCAUUUACUCAAGCAGGGUUUGUCCCAGGUGUGUGCUGUGUGGCCUUGAGGGGAACCAACCAACCAUCACUGGAUACUCUAAAAAAAACUUGAACCAACAUAAAACUCUCCUCCUUUAUAAUGUGGGUAUUCCCAUGAUGGGAAAUUCCAAUGAUGGGAAUGUUGGGUAUUCCAAUGAUGGGAAAUCUGCUUAAUGCAUACGCCUUCAUUUGCAUUUACCAUAAAAUAAAAUCUAAGAAUUUGAUUGGAUGAAAGAUUCCAGGGAAAAGUUUACAAGUGACAGGAACUGGGAAGUUAUUUGACAAUUAAAUUAAUUAUUUGAUCCCCCAAAUUGACAAGGUAUCAGACCAAAACCUAAAAUACAUAAAGAACUGGGAAUUUCUGCAAAUCAACCACAGAAAGUUAGGACUCUUAAGGUAAAAACAAACAACAACAACAAAAAACAGACUGAGAAUAUUUUUAUGCAACUUACAGAAGAGAACAACCCAAAAUUUAACAAACAGCAAAGAGUUGCCCAAAUUUACCAUUCAUGGGAAUUGUAAGUUAACAUUUCAGUGAAAUAUUUCACAUGCGGUAGCUUGCCAAAAUGAUACGGAUGUAGAGCUCCGCUUCAUGCAUGGCUGGUGUGAGUACAUAUUUACAUAGUCAUCUCGAAGAGUUUUCUGAUCAAAUUAAUUAUGUAUACAUUCUAGAUCCUUGAGUUCUCUGGCUUGUUGUUUCCCAAAGGAAUUUCUAGUGGCACAUACUGGAACAUAGUGGGACACAUUUGUGGAUGUUCACCAUGACAUUGUUUGUGGGAGUUGGGAGCAAUCUGGGUUAGAGGAUAGGUGAAAUGGUGUGUAAAUUCCACUAUAAAAUUUAGAGCAGUGGCCAGAAGCAAUGCACCAUAAGUACACCAGUGCCAAGUAAUUUUCAAGACACAGUUCUAAGUAAUUAAUGUAAGAAGUAUGAUGUCUAUAGUACUGACACCCAAUAUAUGUAAAGCCUUGAGAUACACACAAAAUCUAAAUAAGCAUUUUAUGUGAAUAAACACAUUAAGAGGAUAUUCAUCGAAGAUAUUAGUAAAGUUGCUACAGUUGUGGUGGAAGAAUAGGAGUAGGGAAAGAAAAUAAAGAGAAUAAAUAAAUUAGAGUGAGCACUUAGCACAGACCAUUACUGAAAGCAUUUCUUUGUGUUUCAGUCUUGAAAAUAUCACAAUGGGAUGGUCCAUCAAGGAUCCUGGCCCUGAAGAAACAGGGAUGAGGAUGAAAAGGGAUGGUAUAAGGGCUUUGAUCUGAGACUAGGGGAUGGAUGGGUGAUGGCUAACCUAACAGUGAUUUAUGGGUAAGACCUGGUGAUGAGGGCACUGGAACUCAGUGAGAAUACUGCCUCCCUUCUGCUUGUCCUAAACAAAAUGCAUUAUCUUUAUAAUAAAAAAGAAUCCAAGGCCACACAGGGCCACUUUUUCUUCAUUAAAAGUGGAGACCUAUCAGCUAAGAAACCUAGAAUACAAGAGACGGUGGGAAGGUUUAGUUCCACUCCACCAGGGACUUUCUGGCUCCACAAUUAAUUGGCUGCACCUGGGCUAAUUUCUCCAGGUGUAAUUUGUCUCCACAAGAGACCAGCCUUUAAAACCCUGGGAAGAUCAAAUAUAGCAGGAAAAACAGGAAGUUGAAAGAAAAAACCUCAUUCAAAUUUUAAAACCAUUUGUGAAAAGUUAUUAAAUAAUACAAUGCUGGCACAACGUUGUAUUUGUUUCUUCCAAUUCCCUGUAAAUGCUUUGUGUGUCUAUACUUCUUAAAAUAUUUUAAAACAUCCCUUUUAAAAAAAUCUUUCUAAAUCCUAGCUUUAGGUUUUUUUGAAAACGCUAAUGUAUUUCAUCCUUGGAAAGCUCUAAUAUAUUUUUUCCUAAAGUUACAAUUGCGUUUCUGAUUUUGCUAUGGAAAACAGCCUCAAAUUGAGGGUUACAAACAAAUGAAACAAACUAACAUAAUAAAAAUUAUAGGAGUUAGGCUGCAAUUAGAAGAUCAGUUUAGGAAUUUAACAGCUCUAUAGAACAUCAUCUUAUACAGAGUUCCAAAAAAAGCUAAAAUGUAUAUUAUACUUAGUAUAAAUAAUGGUAGUUGGGGUAGACACAUUUUGAAUUCAGCCAAUGACAGAUCUGUUAAGUUAUGGUUUCAUGGGAAUACUUAGUGCUUACAUUAGGAUUUGAAAAAUGGGUAGACUUUACGGGUAAAAGUUUAUUUAUGGCAGAAAUACCAAUUUGAGUGGAAGUUCAGAAAUGAUCAUAGUAUAGCAUGUUUGGGAAAUGGUGACUGAUCCUAUUUGUUUUGAUAUAAAAUUUGUCAUAACAAGAAAGUAAUGUGACGUAUAUAUAUUAAAUUAUUUCAUCUUCAUAAGCCUGAAGAGAAACUUUUCAAGCAGAGGUACAUAGGUUGGGUCAGGGACAUAUGGCAAUGAUAUAACAGAAGUAGGGAGUGAUCAUGGACGUGUACUGAAGAGGAGGGAGGAAGAGAUGGGAAGAAACUGAAGAUGAAUCUUGAAUCUCUAACCCAAGGGGCUUGACUGCAGCUUGAUGGCAUCAUCCUAUGAAACAGGGAUGCCAUGAGAUUUACUUUGGGGAGGAAUAGAAGAUAAUCAGGAAUUUAAGUGAGAUCCUGGUACAAAAUCAAGGUGAAGCUGUUUCAUAGGCUUCCAGAGAUGGGAAUUUCCAUUCACUGUGGAGGACAAAACUACUGUUCAAAUUUAGAAGUCAUCCAGUGAAAGAGAAAGAGAUCCCUUCCAGGUGUGGGAACUGUUUCCAGAGAAUUGCGGGAGGAGGAAGGAUUGAGGACUACUGUAGGAGGAAAUUCUUGUGUUUUUUCAAUGGGCAUGAUAACUCUCAAAUCCUGAAACGGAAGGCAUGCAACACAGGUUAACAGAUCCUCUAACUGAUUGCCAUGUGACUCACACCGGUUUGGGAUGAGCUAAACCCUCCCGUGUGUGUAGAAGGAUGAUUCUCUUUCUGCCUUCUACCACUUGCUCCUGUGGUGUGGAUGAGUGAGAAUUCAGCUGGUUAUGGGGUACACUUCUUACAGCUGUGGAUCUUCAUCAAGCAAUUAUUUUAUCUCUUCCCAUUUUCCUGUUUGUGAAAGAAUGCUGCAGGUAUUGCUGUCAUCACUUCUAAAAUGGAACCCAUCUUCUUUUUCUCUCCAGUCAAAAUGACACUUUAAUCUGGUUUCUCAGUGAUCAAAAAAAAUUAUUUAUUCUGUAGUUCCAAGUCUAGUGAAUUUCACAGAUAUGCCAUUUCCAAAUUUUAAAAAAAUACAUUUUUAAAAGCUUCAAGAUAAUAGGAACGUUAUUUAUUAUGAUGACACAUCACAAUAAUUCAUAUUUUGCAGGUGAAUUCCUAGUCUAUGUUUAAUAUGCAUUGUUCCAUAUUAUUUAUCCAUUCAUUCUAUACAUGUUUAAUAGCACCUAAGUAACAGUAUGGUUCUGAGUGCUGGGGAUAAUUCUUGCCCUUAGAGGUUUUUAAUUUCCAGAUGAAAGUGAUACAGGAGACAGGUCAAGGUAGGACCUGUCAAUCACAAGAUCCCAGGACAAGCCAGGACCUAUGUGGAACUUCUUGGGAGCUCCCAAGAGAUGUGGAUGACAUAAAGAAGACCAGAUACCAGGAGGAGCCCGCCAGCAUGACUUCCCACACUAGCCUGCACAGCGUUUCUCAGAUGCUGUGUGUUCUCAUGUGUGAUUUCACUCCCGGUUCUCUUUUUCUUCCCCGAGUUUGCUCUGCAGGACUGGUGUGUCCCAUACCCAUUCACCCUGCCCUUUUCAAAUAACAUUUGACGCAGAUUUUGGCUUGUCUCAUCCAAUUCUUUGUUUGAGGCCGGAAGGCCCUGGGAUACCUUUGAUUGAUGAGCCAUUUCCAAAGAAAUUACCUGAUAACAGAAGCACUAGGAGUUUUAAUGUUUAUCCUUAAAUAAAGUGGAUUAUGAAAAACAAAGAGGGGUUCAGAAUGUAGCUAAAUGGUACUGUUUACUUACCAUGUGCAAAGCCCUGUGUGUUUUUUUCCUAGCACCACACACACACACACACACACACACACACAGAAACAAAAUGAAAAAUAAAAUAUUUAAGUUUUUUAAAUGUCUAGAUAAGUAAGACUCAAAUAAGGUUAAUCAGUCAUUCCUGGAUAAAAUAUUAUGGGAGAACUGUUGCAUGUCAUGUUGAUCUGCAUUGAAAUAUCAUAAAUUCUGAAAUACUUUAUUAAAAAUGAGCUGAUGAAAAGAAAAGCAGAGGUAAUUUUCCUUUGCUCAGAUCUUAUUAAGUGGUAUUUGUCCCAGAAUGGAGGAAUUUUCCUUUCCUGUGUUGGAUGACAUCAUCUAUUCAACUGUACUUGAACCUGAUGACCAACUCUAAGAAGGUGAGUUCUUAAAAUGACAACUCUUUUGCAGCCUAUAAUUUUAGAUUUUAUAAUCUUUAGUAUUAAAUUUUAAUUCUCUUGCUGUCUUUGUUUUUAAAUAAAUCUUUAAACAUUUUUUAAAGGAACUGGCCUAUUUCUGUAUCUCUACACUCUCCUCACUGAGGAAUUCUUCUACUGUGUAGCUAUGCAAAAUAAAAAUCUCCAAGUAAAAGUCUUUUAAUUUUAAGCUAUUUUUAUUGAAAAAGUGAUCCCCCAUAAUAAUAUAUUGAGUAUAUUUAAAGCUUUUUUUUUCCAGAAUAAGUUUAAAGUAAUUAGGACAUUAAUAAUUCUUAGGUGGAAUGAAGUUAGUUACAGUUAUUCUUAGGAAAAGAAGUACCUUCUUCCAAGUCAGGAGACACAUGGGGUAAUACGUGAUGGGUACCUAUGGAGAGAGCAGAGCUUCCUGGGUCUACAGCUGCUAAUAACUUGCUUUGGGACUAGGGAAAAAUCAGUUCACUUUUUUCUGGUUGGGCUUUCGCAGCUGGAAAGAAAGGGUAAUUAAAUUUUGUUUGGAUGAGGCAGGAAAGAAAAUUCUAGCUUUCCUCACACAUACUCCAAUAAUCCAAAUGCAAAAUGUGGAAUAGGUUCAAAUGAUCUGAAUAAUUCCCUCAAACUUUUUUUCAUUUGUGUGUAUGCUGGAAACUUACCCAAUCAGAAAGAGUGAUACUUAAAGAAAAACUGUGAAAGAAUAACAAAUGAAAGUGUCUGGUGGGGGGAAAAACAGUGAAAGUAAUUGGCUGAGGAAAGGUUGAAGUUUAGGUCUCUCAGAGAAACCACAAAGAGAAUGCUGAGUUGUCCUUACUCUAUAAUUUCAAAUAACGUAAAUUUGAUUGUAUUUAAAUUUUAGUUACAUAGCUCUACAAUGUUAGAUAUCACUGAAACAUCUUAAUAAAGUUAAUGAGGUGAUAAAAUAGGGAACAGAAUGCCAUCUAGGUCAAACAUGUAAGGUCCAUUAUCAAAGCAGACAAUAUGCACUGGUGUCAUCUUUCUCACCUAGAAAAUCAAUCCAUUAAAAUCAGGUGCCUUUGAACACAGGUGGAAGAUGAGAAUCAUUCAAAUAUGCAAAACAUAAUUAAAAGAACAUUUUCCAAGGGAAAAUUAAUUAAACUGGGUAAACAUAUGGUUAUUUGAGAACUUAAAUGUGAAAUUACCACUUUACAUAUCAUGUGGACACCAAGAGAAUAACAAUUCUUGUUAAUAAUGUAAGUGCAUCAGUACAUUGCAGAGACCUAUGUAUUUGGUGUAGAGCCAUUUCAAGUAUUGAGCAAAGGUAAGCAUAUAAGGAAAUAAGUAUGGAAAUCAUAUAUGAGAUGCCAAAUAGAGGUCUCCUUAACCAUAGUACUUUCAAUGUAAUUCUGCAUCCAUGUCAAUAUAUAAUCAGAUGGAAAAAGUAUAACUAAAAGACAAGGAAUCCACGAUGAAGUAUUUUAUUCAGUAAACAUUUAAAAAACUAUCAGAAUAGUUUGGGCCAAUGCUGUUCAUGUGACUCUAGGUCAAAAAUAUAUCCAAACCUUAAUUUUCCAUCUUCUAACCCAGUGAGGUACAGAAGAAUAUUUAAUUUUGAUGCUGUUUUCUAAUCAUAACAGCACUAUUUGUUAAUUCCAAAUGACUACCUUUGAUUUUGCAUUUGGAUCUCCAGUUUUCCAUAUUUAGGUUUUGUGACAAUUAACUUUCCUUGUGGGUGUUUGAUUUUCUUGAAGUAUGCUUUCCUGAGUUCUCAGGAUUCCUUUUUAAAAACUUAGUUAUGGAGCCAAGAAAUCUAUUUUACCUGGGAAAAGAACUGGUGAAAUGUAUGGCACUCUGAAUAACUUAGUAUCAUUUUUAGGAAAAAAAAGUAAAUAUUUCGUGUACUUUAUGGUAAAUGAAAUGCAUAUAGCAUUUAGAAAAACAGCACAAAUACUUGGGUUCCUGCACGACUGCUUUGGACUGCUUUUGCACUGUAUAUGCUAGAUACUUAGAUCCAUACUGUAUUUCAUGUUUGCUUCUCCUAAGCCAGUGCAGUUUGUAAGUCAUAGAGCUUUCACAUUAUACUAGUUAUUCUAGGUCAAUAAAAUUUUCAUUUCAAAGGGAAGUUUCUUUUACACCAUGUUCAGUUUCUCUCUCUCCAUCUGUCUCUUGUUUUGGAAAUAAAAAAGUGAACCUAAACAUUUUUGUGGAUGGAUAAACAUGCUAUUGAUUUAGGAAGUGGUUGAUGAAAUGGCUUGCUGGGGCUAAGUGUGGGGAAUAAUUGACAGUUCUUCAGCAGGUGAUGGUUAGUGAGUUGGAAAAUCUGCCACACGGAGCUGUUUCCUAAUGUGUGAAAAUGAAUGCUUAUUCCAGAAGUGCUCAAAAAUGCAUUCUGAUUUUCAGAACUAUUAGAUCAAGUUGUACCACCCUCACCUCAGUGUUCUGAAAUGAUCAAAAUAAUUCAUUCAAUGUUUAAUUUUUAUUUUUGCGAUUAUUAAAGGUGAAACAAAUUGCUAUGGAUUGCAUCAUAGUAUCAACUCCACAGAAUAUAGGUUUAAGUUAUCUGAUUCUUAUUUACUAAAUAUACACAGACACCGUUAGCACACACAUGUGGGUAUUCAUGCAAGGACUGGUAAGGAUUAUCACAUAAGAAAGUUCCUAGCUUUUACAUGAGACUGCAGGUGGGGAUUUUGUAUCCACUUACAAUGUGGAAAGGAGCUAGUAUUUACUGGAAAUCUAUUGUACGGUGAAUUUUCUUCACAACAACUUUGUGAGAUAAAUAUUGUUAGACCAUUAAUGAAUUAAUUAGAAUAGUUAAAAUAUGUAACUGAUGUUUACUUAGAAAGAGCAAAAGAAUAUACACACUGGAUGGUAGGAUUAACUCUCCCAAAGUAACCACUGCUAUCGUUUUGGGUAUCCACUGGUUUACUUGAUAAAUACAUGACUUUUUCUUAAAGAGACAAAUGGGUCCUUAUUCUAUGCUUUGUUUCUCACCUGACUUUUGACAUUUAAUAUUGAGAAUGGCAUUUUGACUCUAUUUUAUAAAUGAAGAAACUGAAGUUAGGAGAGUUUAAAUUGAUUUAUCAAUUGGCAGAACUGAGAAUUCAAAUCUUUUAGACUUCAAGUCUCUGGUUCAUUUUGUUUCUUUUUGUUGACACUUAAAAGCAUUGGGUGAUUUUUCAUUUACAUAGAGUGGUAACUGCCACUAAGCCUGGAUGAAUUUACAAAGUACUAGGAAUCUGUCCUCUCUCUUACUUUCCAUUUUUCUAGUACUGGAGAUGGAACCCAGUGGUGCCAUACUGCUGAGCUAUAUCUCAAGCCCUUUUAUUGAUUUAUUUUUUAUACUGAGGUAGAGUCUCACUAAGUUGUCCAUGUUGGACUCAAACUUGCAAUCCUCUGGCCUCAGCCUCCUGAGUGGCUUGAAUUACUACUGGCUCUCUUCUCUCUUCUUGCAUCCUUUGCCUACCUUCUGCAACCCUCUCUCCCAGUCCUAAACUUAGGGUACCUUAACACAGCUCAUAACACUCAACUUCAUCUCUGUCUUCAUUACAGUGCUCUGUCCUUUUUGAUUUCUCCAGAAAUGCUUACUCUGCCCACUUUAUAAUUUUCUCUCCUUUAUAUUCCACAUUCACAAUCAGUAAUUCAUUUUUUUCUAAAGAAAGUAGCUAGAUUUUGGCAAUCUAUGUUAGGAAAGUAUCCUACAGUCAGACAGGUGGAGGACAUUCAAAGACUGCCCCAGGGCACACACUGGGCAUAAGCCUUGGCUGGCCAGUCCUGGCUCCUUUCUAAUCCUUCUUACUAGAAAGAUGAGGUCCUACCCAAGGAUUUUUUUUGACUGAAGAUGGUGUAAAAGUGAUCUCUUGUGGAUGCUCUAAAGAUAGAGGUGUGGAGCUGCCUUCAUUUUUGUUGGGUGAGGAGAUGUUACAGUGGAAAAAAGGAAGUCCACAUGUAACUUGUUCCAGGAAGGCUUUCUGAGGAAUCUGGAGCUGAGAUUUAAAGCACAAGUAGAAUUUAGCCAAAGGAAGUGUGGUGUGGGAGUAAGGAGGUCAUACUGGAGAGGAUUUUAGGCGGAAAAUUCUAAAACCUGAAAAGAACACAUCCUUCCAGCUCACCUGCAGGAGGGCAAGUGUGGCUGGAGUGAGAAGAGGAGGGUAGAGAGAUGAAGGGUGCUCAAAUCCCAAAGCAGCAAGGACUUCCUGUGCUCACAGAUCACUGCAAACGGAAGGCGAGAUGGCAGGAGUUUUAUGAUAUGCCAGUUUAGUGCCCUUGGUUAGGAGCGUGAAUCACUGACAUGAGUGGAAGUGGGACUUUGGGGGAAUAUUUAUUGGUGAGUUCCAGAAACAUCACGAGGGGCUUGGAAUAUAGUUAUCGUCCUGAGGAGGCCAGGUAAAGGCAACAGUCUCCCCGAGACUGCAGCAGACACUGUUCACAGACAUGCACCCCAAAACCACAGGAUCCUCACUGAUGCCACUGUCACCAUGCUGAGUAGCAUUGCAGUUGUCCCUACAGAUUGCUGUUGUUGGAGGUGAUCAGUCACAUUGGGAUCACAGCCUAUAUUUAGCAGCUAGAGAGUUAGAAGCAAACAAUAUCUGCCUCCCAACAAUCAUAAAAUGAGGAAUUCUCCCACAAAAAGCAGAGGAAAGAGGCGUUAGAGUAGUGAGCAGCCUGAAAUAAAAGCAAAUACCUGCUUCUGAUGUUUGUGUUUUAUUUUUAAUUUUGUAAAGUUUAAUCUAAUUGAUGAAUAUAUUUGGAGGUACAAUGUAAUAUUUUGGUAAGCAUAUACGAUAUGGAAUGACCAAGUCAGGCUAACUAGCUAUUCAUCAAGCUAACCAACUACCUAUCCAUCAGGCUAACCUACCCAUCUCCCUACACACAUAUUUCUUUAUGAUAAGAGCAUUUAAAAGGUAUUCCUUUUAACUCUUUCACAAUAUACAAUAGAUUAUAUAGGGCUGGGGAUUGAGCUCUGUGGCACAAGCACCUGCCAGGCAAGCAUAAGGUCAUGAGUUCAAUCCUCAGUACCAAAAAAAAAAAAAAAAUUGAGGAACAAUAUAUUGUAUAAUUACUCAUGUACAUUUGUAUUAUUCUUUCUGCUAUCUGGGGUAUGGAGGGAAAGUGGUGGUGGGGAAGCUGGUUUCAAUAAAGUUAGCUAAGAGGUUGUUGGAAUAAUCCUGACAAGGGAGAUGGUGGUAGCCUGGACUACAGAAAAGACAGAUGGCAGUGUGGAUGGGUAGAAAUAAAUGGACUCAGACUGAGACUUGAGAUAAUUUAUUCACCAGUUGGCUGUGGGGACUGAGGAUUAUGGGGGCGUUCCUGAGGAAAAGUAAGGUGUGAAAGGUAAUAUUCUGUCUUGGCAACUUGUUGGCAGGUGGGACUCUUCAUUUAGAGCACCUAGGAGGAGGAAUGGGGCCUCUAGUAGGUUCAUUUUACCCCUGCUCUGCAAAUGAAGGUGCUCAGAGAGGUUAGACACCCUGUGCAUAGUCGUACACUUAGCCAGAAUACAUACCAGACCCUGUUUGGAUUAAAAAUCUUAUGCUCUUUCUUGCAACACUGUUCUCUGAAUAUCAGAAUAAGAUUGUAGAUGAAUCUAUUAAAAUUUGAGCACUACAUUUUCACAUGUCAUCUUUUCUGAAGAAAUACAUCCAACUAAAACUUUCAAUGGAAAGAAAUAUUUUCAUAGGAAGAUAACUUGCUAGGAUUUUUCAAUCUGUGGCCAAAUCAUUUUUCCACCCUUUAUUCUGCUCUAGAAGACAAAGUUUCUCUUUAUAUUUACUUGUAUCAUUACUGUGACUGUGUCCAGCAUUUUUAAAGGCCAUUGAAAUGUACAGAAGAAAAGCAGCAGUGAGACUAGUUAUAGAAAAUUUCAUGGUAUAUUAUAAACACUUAAGGCUUUACAUUCACUUCUGAGCCAGCACAGGCAGGAGACGCAUCCAGAUAUACCCCUUGCCCCUGCAGGCCACCACUGGAGACCCUUGCUUCCUUUGGGCAGCCAGUGCCCACAGGGAGAAUCACACAGAUACACCCAUGUGCCUGCCACCAUUGGGGGAGUCUUGGUGUAGACACACAGGCUGAAAGAAGAAACAGCCACAUCACUACGCACCCCUGGCUAUUGGGGAGGCCUCAGUGUAGCUGUGUGGGUCUGGAGAAGCUCAAUCCAUGCCCUGAUCCCUUCCUGGGGACCUGGGUUCAAAGAAACAUAGGUUCCUAGCCCAUUUCCCUACACCAAGGAGCAGCCACCAUGUGAAGUGCUUGGGACUCCAUAAUCAGCUUGUUGGGAGGAACUGAGGAGACUUUCAAGAUGAAGGAACAAAAGGCAAUCUCGGAUCUCCAGCCCACACAGAACAAAUCUGGGAGACAUAGUCAAGGAAAAAAAUGGAACCUGAAAUCUCUGAGUGGAUAACAACUGAAGAAACAACUUCAUGAGACUGCAAAAGUAAUCAGAUCAGAAAUGUCUCAGGUGAAAGGAGAAAUCACAAAUAUAAUGAAAGAAUUGCUGAGCAUAUCUAAAGAUAACACAGAUAAAAAAACAGAAGCAUAGGAAAAUGAUGGAAACCUUGCGUGAACCAUAUAAGAAGGAAUUACAAUGCAUCAAGCAGAUUCAAAGAGAUAUCCAGGAAGUUAAAAGUUGAUUGAAAGCUGGCAAAAUUGCUUGAAAGAGACUGAAGAUAGACUUUCAGAUCUUGAAGACAGGAUCACAACUAGUGAUCAUGAAAGGAAAGAUCUUUAAAAAUUGACAAGGAACCAGGAAAUAACAAUUCAACAGCUGCAAGAUGACUUAGAAAAAAAUAAUUUAAGAGUGAUAGGUAUUAGCAAAAAAAGCAGUGUUCAACACAAAUUAAAUAAGAUAUUUACAGAAGUAAUAGAAAAUUUUCCAAACAUGGGAAAAGGAUCUGGCAUACACAUAAUGAAGCAUAUAAAACUCCAACUAGCCAUAACCAAAGUAAAUCUACACCCAGACAUAUAAUAAUCAAGAUCCCAGAAAUUCAGCACAACAACAGAAUAUUAAAUGCUAUUAGAGAAAAUAAACAAAUUACCUAUAAAGGAAAACCAAUCAGAAUCAAGCAAGGCUUCUCAACACAAACCAUCAAGUCAAGAAGAGUUUGGAGUAAAGUGUUUCAAAGAAAGAAAACAACUUCUAACCCACAUUGAUUUACACUGCAAACUAUCUUUCAAAAUUGAUGGAAAAAUAAGAUAUUCCCAAGAUAAAGAACAAUUGAAGGAAUUCAUGAUCAACAACCAAUCCUAUAGAGAGUGCUGGAGGAUACAAGAAAUACAUUUAGCUCUAAAGGAAAUGCAUAGACUUAAAGGAGAGAAAACAAUUGUUCCACAUGACAGAAGACCAGAAAACAGCGAGAAUAACUUGCCUAUCAAUCACAGAAUGGACAAGAAAUACAUGGUAUUUUCAUCUGAUGGAAAGCUACUCAGCUAUAAAUUAGGAUAAUCUCAAAGCUGUUGUAGGUAAAUGGAUGCAACUGGAGGUCAUGCUCAUGGUGAAAUGGUUUGGACUCAUAUGUGUGAUCACCAAGUUAUCUCCCUAGCAUAAAAAAAUUGAAGGAGUUAUUGGGGUCCAAAGAGCAUAAUCGAUAUUUUGAAAGUGAUAGGGGAGGAUAUGCCUAAAAAGGGAAAGUGGCAACCACUGUUGAUUUCCUAUUAUCUUGUUUUGAAUUCUUAUAUCAUUUUUCAUAAUUUUUUAAGGUUUGGCUUUAUUCUGUCUUGUUUUGUUGGUUUUUACUGUGUCUGAUAGUAUGGGCAGCUAUUUUGAAGAAAAUGAAACAUUAUGAUAGCCAUUGUUGAUUUCCUGUCAUCUUGUUUUGAAGUCCCAUUAUGCUUUCAUUCUUUUGUUUUGAUUGAUUUAUUCUUUUUUGUUUUAUUUGAUUUUACUUUAUGUGAUAGUAUGGACAGCUCUUUUGAAGAAAACAGGAGACAUUAUGGUAGUCACUGCUGAUUUCCUGCUGUCUUGUUUUGAUGUCCUGUAAUGCUUGCAUUGUUUUGUUUUAAUUGGUUUUGUUCUCUUUUGUUUUGUUUGACUUUGUUGUGUGUGAUGGUAUGGACAGCUAUUUUGAAGAACAUGAGAGGCACUGUGGUAGUCAUUGUUGAUUUCCUGCUGUCUUGUUUUGAAGUCCUAUAUCACUUGCAUUGUUCUGUUCUGAUUUGCUUUAUUUUGUUUUGUGUUGUUUUGUUUUCUUUAAAAUAAAAAGUAUAUUCAUUUCUUUAUGUAAAACAUACUUAUUUAGUAUAUUCUACAUGUUCUAGACCCCAAGUAUGUGGGAAUAGGGAAAAACAGAUGAAGUGUGUGUGUGUGUGUAAAAACUUCGAUGUAAUUGAAAGAGAUUGAUGAUAUACAAGUAAAUGUAUAAAGUACUUGGUGGUUGUAAAUUCUACGGAAAACAUAAAGCAAGGAAAAGAACAAGAUGGUGGAUCUCUGGGAGUUAGGGAUAUUAUAUUUUAAAAAAUAUUUGAUCACACUAAAAGAAGAAAUAGGUCUGUGAUCACUAAUUGUGAAACUAUAUGUCAACUUGUUUUGAAUUAGACUGCUGCCUAAAAUAUUAAUAAAGCACAGUUUGGGUGUGUCUGUGGAUUACUGACAUGUGGGUCAGCAAGCUGAGUGAGUGUUUAAGGGGAGCCCCACACUAGACUGCCUAGCACCAACUAAUUGGUUUCUGAGUGCUCCCUUUCUGCAAGAGCUCCAGUUUUGGCCAUUGACUUUGGGUAUUGAUUUAGUUUAUUCAGCCUACAAAUGCAGACUGGCACUGGUGACUCUACUUUGAGUUUCCAGAUCUUUGAGGUUUGACCUUUGAUCACUACUGGAUCCUCUAGCUCUGCUGUGUGCAGACGCCAUUUUGGAUUUUACCACUUCUGGUAUUUCCAUGAUUCUGGUCAUAAACUGAACUGAAUGAGCACUGAAACAAAUUUCCCUAUAAAGUCAACAUCGAACCAUAUCAUUGAAUUUGUUUGGUGCUCUACUUGUGACCAGAAUCAUGGAAAGAAGCAAGUUUGUAACCGAAGUGUUUUCCCUCAGUCUUGAAAUGGAAGAUCAUGAACACUAAAAGUUAAAUUACUUGUGUCGACAGAGCUAGAAACUUUCCCCUAAGUUUAGUCUUCUUGUACAGACAUUUUCUAAUGUUUUUUCACUUUCUAUACUUAGAGAUAGCCCUAAAAUCAGUUCUCAUUUCAAAUGCUAAAUAUAGGAAUGGAAUAAUUGAUAAUUUUCAGUUAUACUGAUUCUUAGACUAUGAAUAAAGCUUUUAAAUAUUUUAGAUGGCUUCACUUAGUCCUAAAGUUUUGAUGAUAUUAAGAAACUUAUUUUCAGCAUGUUAAAAAGUCAAAUGCCAUGUCCAGAACUACACAGGAUCAGUAAUACAGUUCACUCAAUAAAUGUUUAUUGAUAUCUUAAAUUUUGAUCAGAGAGAAAUUAUUUCUAUGAAGCAAUUAAGCAUGAGACUAUCUUGAUUCAAAACAUUUAUUUAUUGUAUAAUUUUGUUAGCAUUUUCAGUCAAGUCCAUCCUAACUUAUCAAAGAUUUUUUAAUUUAGGAAAGGUUACUAAGAUGAUCAUUAUUUAAGUUCAAUCACCAAAUAAUAAGGCAAAUAAAAUUAGAUUUUCUAUUAUUAAACCACCUUGGUAUCAUGAGAAUAAAUGCUCCUGACUCUGAUUUUAAAAUGUGUAGGAUUUAUAGUGUGUGGAAUUAAUUAAUUCAUUGUAAUUACAGUAACAAAAUAUGUAUCAUUGUCCUCCUGAGGAGAAAUUAGAUCAUUUUUUAUUUUUCUUGGUAUAAAAUGUUAGAUUAGGACAAAUUUUGCAUCAGAAUUUUGAAAGUGUUAUUCCAUUGUCUGCUGGUCUCCAGUGUUGUCACUGAGAAUGUAAUAGUUACUUAUCUGAUAAUGUGUAUUAUACACCUGUCCUAACCUCUUUAUGUAAAGUAACUCAUUUCAUCUUUGUAACAGCAUUACAAAGUGCAUACUAUUAUUGUUUUACCCAUUGUGUAUGUAAGGACAUUGAGGCACAGAAAGGUUAAUAUCAUGUCCCAAAAUCUGUAACAGAUAUGAAUCUAGAUAGUCUUCCUUGAGAUUCUUCCUCAACCACUGGAUUUUACCACUUCUCAAGACAGUUUAAUUUCUGACCCUGAGAGUCUGUGACCUAUGGUUGGUCUGCUGUCUCCUGUUAGGCUUCACCUUCUAGUGUACAGGUAUACUUCCACUGCUCAGUAUAUGACGUCUUCCUGAGGCUUCUCUGACACCAUGGUGUGAUAGGCAAAUUCCCACAGGAAUGCAUCAGACCCAGAAAGUUAAGGAGUUUACAGCUCAGGAGACAGCCCUUAAAGAUGAGCAACAAAUGCUUUCCUUCUUUGCUCUGUGGGUGGCUGAUCUGGAGAUGUCUUCCAUAUGGUUACUUGGAAGGUAGCAAAUGAGACUGGGCUUUAUUUCCCAAGGAAUGGGUCAACUGAAAAGUGUAUUCUCUUUUUCCAUCCCUCAUACCUAUUUCUGAGGAUCUCUUCUCAAAUAAGCUUCUUACUUGCAAGUCUUUGCCUCUGGCUUUGCUUGAAGCCAGCAGAGGUGCAUUUGAUACCAAAGUGGCAGUUAGCAGGCAGAGCCUUUGGAGCCCAAUCACUUAGUCAUUCCACAGCAGCAAGGGUCCCAUUUGGUGUUAUCGGUAGAGUGGUGAGAACCCUUGAUAUCAAGAGUGCUGAGAGUACCUUUGAGGUGGAUAAGGGUGAGGUACAAGUUCAGAUAGAUAAGGGCUAUGAAAAGUAUCCAUGACCCUUUCUAUUACCAUAGAAAGGGUCAUGGAUUCUGAUAAAAGCUUGAGAAAGUAGCAGGCAUAAAGUUACCUAAGUAUCAACGCAAAGCACGUUCUGAAUGCUGGAAGACCUCCAUGGUCUCAUCUCAAGAAGGUACAACUGCAAAACAUUUUUACCUAGGAUUUAAGUGUCAAGGGGAAAAGAUACAGGGAGGACUGAAUCUCCAGUCUUCAAUACGCUUCAAUGCACCCAUCAAAGUCCCAGCAAAGGAGUGGGACUUUGAGAGCUGUUGGUAUAUUUCAAAGGAUUAGCUGAAAAUCCUGUCUCUUUGGGUUCCCUUAAAUUCUCUGGAAUGGAAAGCAUAGUCUCUCCUUAUUGAUAAGAAAGCAUCUUUUGGUCUGAUAUAGAACCAUAGCACAUGGCAGGACAUUUGUCACUCAUUCUUGUGCAAACUGAAAAUGCAAUAUGCAAUAGGAGCUGACAAAGAAAUGUCAAUCUUCCCUCAGGAACAGUCCAGAAGCACUUUCUAUGAGGUACCUUAAAGAAUUCCAUGCAUGUGGCACCCAAAGGAGUGUCCAAUUUGAUAAUACAUUGCUUUACUGGCUUGCUUUUCUGUUUUCCUUUCUCCAGUUUAUCCCUGUUUGUCCCCGGGAAUUAUUUCUAAAUAAAGUACAUGCACACAAAGUCUUGUCUUGGUUUCCCUUUUGGAGAAGGCGGAGGACCUAUGCUAAAAUAGCCUAUUGUUUGGAUAAUAAAUUCCUUGGACUGAUGUAAUUUUCUUAUUUUUUAUGACAGUUUUGGAACCUUAUUUCACUGACCUUGCAUUUAUUCUGUGGUAUUUUCUGAGAAUAAAUUAGAUAUUCAACUCAUUGAGUUUUUAAUGUCUAAUUUUUAAUGGAUGCAUUCAAGCAAUGUAUUUUCUUGCUUUUUCUACAGUUCACAAUUUGAUAUGUUCUUUUUGUUAUUCUAAAAUUUUUCUGAAUUUAAUUAAGAUCACUUUUUUGACCUAUGAAUUAUUUGAAAGUAUAUGUCUUAGUUAUUUUUUACUCAUCGCUGAGACAAAAUGCCUGAUGCCAAAAUUUGGGAAAGGAAAGGUUUAUUUUUUACAGCUUUUGGAGGUUGUAGUCUAUACUCAGUUGGCUCCAAGGCAGGGUGGCAUAGCAGGGCCACAAUUCAUGGCAGCUGCAAACAGCAAGGCAGACACGGGCAAGAGAGAGAGACACACCUUUUUCCUGUCAUUACCUUGUAUGCUGGCUCCACCUCUAGGUGGGUGUAGCACUGACACCAUCAACCUAGAACCAAUCACAAAUGCACAGUGUAAACACAUGAGGCUUGGGCACCACUGAUAUAAACCAUGACAGUGUACAUAAGUACAAGGAUAGUUUUAUUAAUCUCUAAGGAAUUAGUAUAUAAUUUUCCUGAUUUGUGAUCAGAGAGUGUGAUUGCUAUAAUUAUGUAGGACUUGUUAGAGCAUAUUUUAUGGUUAACUUAGCAAUGAUGUUUGAAUGUAUCAUUUAAUCUACUUUUUAAAUUCACUUUGGUUUCCUCAAGAAAGAGAAAAAGGAGUGUUCAGUAUAUCAAAUUUAUUUUAUAUGAUUUGAGAUUAUGUUGUUUGUUGUUCAUAGAGAUUUGGUACUUUUAGUUUCUACUUUGUGAAUUGUGCCUUUUAUUAUUAUGGAAUGACUCUCGUUAUUUGUAAUGAAGCUUUCCACAUCCAUGUCUGUGUUGGCUGUGAUUCAGUUUUCUUUUGUGUAUGAUAUUUGCAGGCUAAAAUUUUUAGUUUUUUGUGUUAUUUGAUUUAGUUUUAUUUAACCUGUGAGUUUCUCUAUUUUAACCAGUAAGAUUUAUAUGCACUAUGGUAACACAUAUAUUUGAAUUUAUUUAUAUCAUCUUUUUUCAUUUUCUUCUUUUUUCUACCCUUUAUCUCCUCCCUUCCUCUUCUGUUUCCAUUGAUUGAAAUUAUUUACCUUCAUUUCUUUUUAUUCACCACUCAUUUAGGACUUACAUAUUUUUAGUAAAUUUCUUAACACUUAACAAGUGUGUUGACUUCUCGGAAAAUGGCAGAGUGAUGAACAGCAGAGAAAUGGUGUCUGAUAUUUGGGGUCCAGACACUAUACCAUAGCAAUGUGAGGAAGAGAAGGAGGAGGGAAGUGGGUCCCUGGGACCCAGAAAGGAUCCGAAGCAAAAACAGAGGCCAAAGGGGAGGGCAAAGAGAGAGACUUCAACACAGAUGAAUGAGGUGGCAAGUUGUGCUUUCUCUCUGAGCCUUGUCUCACAGGUGGCUUGAACCUGUAGAUGAACAGUGAAUACUGGGGAUCCCAAGGUCCUCUGAAGAGAAAUGCAUCAGGGUAAUGGAGCAGUGCAUGUAGCAAACUACAGUGCCUGGUGAGUUAUUUGAAUUCAGAUGUUCCCCAAGAGAAGGAUGACUUACUGGUAGCUAUUUUAGAGAGGGGCCAACUGAGCUGAAAAUUCAGACUAUCUGCAAGCUGGCUCUACCAGCAGCUCCCAGUAUCAGGCUCAGGUAGCACUGAGUUAAAGUUGAAAGUGAAAGUCAACAGCAAAGUGAAGAGUUCAAGCCAGACAGCAGCCAAGUUCAAGCUGGCAAGAGGCACAUGGAGUGUUACAAGCUGAACAAAUCAUGUUCUAGUCACACUGUUUAGUUCAGAAACCUGCCUAAACUUCAAUGGAACUAAAUGUACAGGUUUGCUGGGAAUAUCCACUACAUGACUAAAUCUGUUGCUAGCUUGUUGGAGUUUAUCAACAUGGAUCUGGGUUUUUUCUAUCAAUAAUAGCAGAGACAUUCCCUAAAGUAGACAAUUUUUCUUUUUUGUUGUUUUUAUUUUUUCUUGAUGAUUUUAUUUUUAUUUGAAUGUGAAUAUUGCUUCUAGUUGUUUUGUUGUUGUUCUGUUCUUGUCGUAUUUCUUUCUUCUCACUUUCCCUCCUCUCUUCUUCACCAGUUUCCCAAAGUUCAUGCAAUCAUUAGUUGUUCUCCAGGCUUGCUUCUAUCUCUUCCUUUUCUGUUCUCUGUUUUUUUCUUCAAAAUUUUUAAAGUUUUCUACCAUGAGGGUAAAAUCACCACCUUGAGGGCAUAUUUACUGUAUAAAAUUUUCUGGUUUGCUUUCAAUUUUGAUAUAUAAGAGUAGUGUCUUGUUCAUAUGGAUAACAAUGGCAAAUUUGCUACCAUAGUUUGCCAUUUCUGUGUUUGAUGUUAUUGUUAUUCCUGAUUGUACUAUGUUAGCUAGGGUGACAUAAUUGUUCUCAUCAGAGAGUGAGAUUGCUUGAGGGUCAAAACACUAGUACAGGCCAGUGCCAAAAAACCAGGAGCUAGGACAGGUAGGCAGCAACUUCUCAUCCCCAAUAAGUUGAACUCUUGAAAUAGACUUUUUUCUGAGUAGUGAUUUUCUAAGGAUUCUCAGUACUAGCACAAAGCUACCUUCCAUAAGCAAUUUACAAACAUCAGCUCAGGAAGUAAGCUAAAAAUAGAAGAUACAGGAGCUACUGAAGCAAAAUGCAACCUCAGACUUCCAGGUGGCCAAAGGCAAACCCAGGGGGGCAAUGAGUUGGAACAACUCAAAAGCUACCCUCCUGGGCUCUCUGAGGUUGGAAUAGCAGAAAUAACAAAGAAGAUGAAUGAAGCUUCAGGGAAAGUCAAGUCAGAAUAAUUUCUAAGAUAGCUAAAUAAAUGUUUACUGUAAUGAAGAACAUGGCUAGUGACUGUAGAGCAUGUACAGAUAAAAAAAAAUAGAGAAGGUUAGGAAAAUGAUGGGCAUCAUCAACAGCCAACUUAGGAAAGAAAUAGAAUCCAUGAAACAGAUUCAAACAGAUCCAGGAGAUUCAAAAUUCCAUGAAAGUAUACACAACAGAAUGAGUCAAUGUGUGGGCAGAAUAUCAGACAGAGAAUACAAGAUUGUGGUUAGGAAUCAUGGAAAGAAAGAUUUCUUCAAAUUACCAAGUGCCUAUGAAAAACCAAUCCAACAGUUGCUAAAUGCUACAAAGAAUAACAUAAACUUGAUCAGAGUCAAUGAAGAAGCAUGAGACAAUGCAAAUGAUAUAGAAAACCUAUUCAUAGAAGUAAUGGCAGAAAACUUCCCAAGCAUGUAAAAAGAAUUUGACCUACAGAUAAGAGAGGCACAUAGAAUUCCAUUAGCCAUGAUAAAAAAAAUCUACACCAAGGUAUGGAAUAGUCAGGAUUUCAGAAUUUCAACAAAAGAAGCAAUAAUGAAAACCCUUAAGAAUUACAGCACACUUCUCAGCACAAACCUUCAAGCCAAGGAGAGCUUGAGGUGAUGUAUUUCAAACCUUAAAAGAAAACAAGCUCCAAUACAGAUUGAUGUACCACCCAAAGCUAUAUUUCAAAAUUGAUGAGAGGAUAAGCCUUCCAUGACAAAGAAUAUCUGAGGAUUCAUGACUACAAAACCAGCACUCCAAAACAUUCUGAAGAUUAUUUUUAUAAAGAGAUUUUUAAAAAUCUACAACUCCAUGAAACCCAACAGCAUAGAUUCCAUAGGCAAGGAAAGUAAUUAAACAGAGAAGAAAAAAAGGGAGCCAAUUACAGAAAACUAGUUUGACAAGGAUGUCAAUACAUAUCAGUUAUAACCAUCAAUGUAAAUAGUUUCAAUUCAUCAAUCAAAAGAGACAGAUUGGAAGAAUGAAUCAAGAAGCAAGAUCCAACAAUAUGCUGCAUACAAGAAACACAUUUAAUUAAAAAAGAAAGUGAUAGAAAGAUCCCCCUUUAAUAAAUUGUGUGGAAAAAAACUAGCUUUCCACAUUAAGAUUAAAUUAAACCCAUGUCUUUCACCAUGCUCUAAACUAAAAUUAAAAUGAAUUAAAGAUCUAAAUAUAGAAACAAAAAUGCUAACUCUACCAGAGAGAAUAUACAGAACUCUUGGAGACAUCAGUUUAGGCAAAGACUUAAGGAACAAAGCUCCAGUUGAACAUGAAAUACCACAAAGAAUCAAAACUGGGAUCUCAUCAUAUUAAAAAAAUUUGCAUAGUAAAAGAAACCACCAAUACAGUGAAGAGACAACUGACAGAAUGGGAAACAUUUUUGCCAACUAUUCCUCAGAGGACUAAUAUCUAGAAUAAAGAACUUGAAAAAAAAAAUCAGACUCCCUAGAUUUAAAGACUCCAUGUAAAAAUUGGCAUCUGAAAUAAACACUUCUCAGAUGUAGAAGUAGAAAUAGCAAAUACAUGCAUGAAAAAAUGUUCAACAUCAUUGGUCAUUGGAGAGAUGCAAAUUAUGAUGCCAGUUUUCAGAGAUGCCAGGAUUUCAUCUCCAUAAACUGGCUAUUAUCAAGAAAUCAACCAGCUGGGUGUGGUGGAACAUGUCUAUAAUUCCAGCACUUGAGAGGCUGAGGCAGGAGAGUUGCUGUGAGUUCAAGGUCAGCCUGGGCUACACAGUGAGUUCAAAGCCAGGAUGAACUGCAUAGUGAAAUCCUGUUCAACCAAUAACAAAUGCUGUUGGGGCUGAGCCAUAAAAGGAACCCUUCUCCACUGUUGGUGGGAGUGUAGACUGGUACAAUCACUACGGAAAUCAGUGCGGCAAUUCCUCAAAAAACCAGAAGUCCCAUUUGACCCAGAAAUUCUCCUUCUUUGUAGCUUCCAAAAAGAAUUAAAAGCAACAUACCAUAGCAAUAUAUGCUCAGCUUUUGUUCUUAGGGGCCCAGUUCAUAAUAGCCAAAUCUGAGAAACAGCCUAAAUGCUCAUCAGUUGAAAAGUUGGUAAAGAUGAUGUGAAGUUUUUUUUUUUUUGUAUACAAAGGAGUAAUUCUCUGCCAUAAAGAAUGAUAAGCUUGAGAUCUUUCUAUAUAAAUAGAUUCAUCUUGAGACCAUAGUCUAAGGUGAAAUAAACUAGAUACACAUUUUAAAAUACUGCAUUGAACCAGCUAUUUCUAAGAGGACAAUAUGUAAUUUAUUAACUAGUGAUUUCUUGCUGUUUAUUUUUUAAAUUAUGUAUUAUUUCUACCCUUUUUGUGUUUUGUUUUUUCUCUUUGUACAAAAUUAAAAAACUAAAAUACUGUAUUGUUUCUCUGAUGUGAGAAACUGAAAACAUAAAUAAGGAUCAAUAUAUAAUAGAUAUUGUGAAUUGGGAAGAAAAUAUUCAAAUGGGAAGGGGGAUUAAGAAGUGGGAAGAGGGAAAGUAAGGAAAGGAAAAGAAAAAAUGAAAGAAUAGAGGUAAAAAUAUAAACAAAGUUUUUGUUAAUAAAAGGGAAAAGGUGUUGAGGGUAAUGGAGGAUAAUGGAGAAAAACAGAAGAAGCAAAAUAUAUCAUGUACAGGUACAAAUUCUUUAUGAUGAAUGUGAUUUUUAUGUAUAUCUAAAAUUCAAGAAAGAGUGAGAGCAAGAGUGAGGGAGGGAGAGAGAGACUGUCACACGUGCUCUGAAUCAGAUUUAGUACAGGACACAGAAAUUUUCAAGAUUUCCACAGAAUCAAACACAAAAGAGUACAAUAGAUCUGUCUGCAGACUAGAAAGAUUAAGAAUCCAGUAGAGAGCCUGGAGCCCAUGGCAAUGGCCCCUCUGGGUCCAAAACAGGAGGCCAAGACAUCUGUGCUGGAAGACUAGAGGGUGUGCACCUAAAGCCAGUAGCCCCUGCUGGAGGCUAGAGGGGCUGCAUCAGGGAAGCUAGGCAAAGACCAGAGCUCCUCUGGAGAAAACAGCAGUCAUCCUUGGUGAAGGUGAGGAAAAUCACCUGCAGUGAAGGCCCUUCAAAUAAGACAAAUUGAAAUCCUUCCCUCCCAUUCUCCUUUUAUGUUGUUUUGACAACUAUACUGAUUUCAAAUAAACUGGGCAUUCCUACUCCAGUUGAAAAUUAAUUAAUCACUACAACAUCCUAGCCCUCCUAAUCUACAAAUCUAUAUUUCAUGUUGCUAUAUUCAAUACUUUAGGUAAUUUUAACGCAAUAGUACUUGUGUACCUAAACCUAGAAAAGACAUGAUAAAAAUACUUAGGUAAUAGGAAUGUCCCAGCUCCAUUAUAAUUUUGUGGAAUCAUGAUCAUAUAUAUGAUUCAUUGCUGACUUAAAUAUUGCUAUACAGUUGAUGACUGAACUUGAUUUAUGUUUUGUGGUUGGGCUAUUAGCCGUUACUUUAUUCAGGAGACAUAUGCAAGGAUUACAUAUAGGGAAUUAUUAAAUAUUUUACAUGUAAAAAAAUAAUUAUAUUUAUGAAAAUUAUCUUGAUUUUGUAUACAAUUUUGGGGUUAAAACACUGCAUAUAGCGUUUUGUUUAUUUUAAGUCUAAUAUUGCUGAGGUGAAGUUGGAAGCAAGAUUAAUUUCUAUCUACUUUUUCUGUCUGCAUACUUUUAUGAUUCUUCCCAUAUCUUUGAAUAACCUCUGGAACAGGAUAAGUCAUGAAGUUUGCUGUUAAUUAAUACAAUUUUCCAUAGUGCCACUAAAACAAGUGCCACAAAAUACGUUCAGACAAUGGGAGCAUGAAAUAAAACAGAUCAUCAUAUUUCUUUGUCUUGGGAAAGUUUUCUUUUAUUAUAUCCUUCAAUAUUUUUAGUAUUUCAUUUUCAUAAUUUUAAAAAUUACCUAACAUCUACUUGUUAUUCACUGAAUAUCAGUCUUUAUGAUAUAUACAAGUUUUUCUUUAUCAAUAUAUUUUUCUUAUCCCUUUCCUUUCUAUGUGUGUGUGUUUUGCUAAUUGUCAACAAUCUAAUUUCUGUUAUACUGGUUCAGAUUCUUGUUGUAUAAGUUCUGCUUCUUACACUUCUAAGAUAAUUUUUUGCAAUGAUUUUUUUUUGUUUUUACUAUUGUUAGAUCAGUUUUCAUCAAGAGAUCACCUUACUAUCUUGUCUUGAAGUUCUUUCUUUCAGUUCUUCUUUAGAUUCUCCCAUUACAGUGUUUUAAAAUAAUCAUUUUUCUUGGAAAACAUGAAAUGGUUGUUGCUUAAAUAUUUUUGCAAUUUUCCUAAAGAAAUUAUCAUUCUAACAUAUUAUUUACUUAUUAUUUUAUUGGCUACCUCCCUUUCCUUUUAACAUGUAUUUUGCAGAACUUUUGCAUAGUUUUUCUUCCUUAUUUUGAAAGAAUGCAUGUCUGUUUUUACUACUUGCCAGGAAUAUUAUAAAUGGAAGAACUGUGGAAGUUCUUUGUCUUAUUGAACUUUAGUUUUACAUUAUGGACUUGCUCUUGGAUAGUUUUUUGUUCAGUUACUUAUUUGCAUAUAGUUUGAAUUGUUUGGAAUUAAGAGGUAGGAAAAAACAGUUGGGGAGAAAAAUAUGGCGGAUUUGGUAUAUUAUCUCUGCAUUUCCCACCUCCACUCUGCAGUCUACUGAAACAACUGGGCUUCUGCCUGACCUUAGAGGUUCUGGAAUUAGCAUGCUUGGGAGAAGCCGAUGGCUCAAAGGCUAUCACAAUCAAGCUAAACAAGGUUGACUGGCUUAUGAAGCAUCCAGAAAUUAGUAAAGCACACUUCUGGGUGUGACUCUGUGGGUCAUGGAGGCAUGACCUUGUUUACUGUAUCUGGUAUCUGGCUCCUUUCUCUCUGUGUUGUUCUCUCUGCCUUCAGUUUACCUUGAAGUGAGCAGUUUGCUUCACCAUUCCUUCCUGCCAUGAUGUUUCUAUCUUGGAGCUAGACAAUCAUGGAUUUGAUCCUUUGAAACUGUAAGUCAAAUUAAACUGCUCCUCCUUUAAAUUAUGCAUGUCAGGUAUUGUAAUCCAGAGUUGGGAAAGCUGACCAAGACAGAGACUUUUGUUCAUUUAUGUAGGAUAGGGACUUAAUUUUCUGUGACUUUAAUCAAUAACUAAACAUUCUCUUUCUCAUAUUAGCAUUAACUUUAGGUCAUUCACUAUCCCAGCCAAAAAAAAAAAAAAUCUCUGUUCAUUGAAAACAGAAGUAUUCAGCGCUAUCUCUCUUUGAGCCCCACAGCCCUGCCAUGCACCCUGAUAGUUACCUAUUUUUAUUUCAGUCUUCCCUUGUCUUUUGUUUUUCCAACUUCUUUCUUACAACUCUAAGGUCAUAAACAAAGGAAUUGUCUCAAGACAAUUUGGGCUUCUUUUUCAACUGGUUUACCUUUGAAGGCAUUCUUAGGAGUUUCUUGCAUGGAAUUAUGAUUAUUUUAUAGUUUCAGGAUAAAUAUUUUUCAUUUCUCUUUUCAGUUCUUUAUGAUCUUUUAAGGGGAUUUCAGAGAGAGGAGUUUGGGAGGUUUAGGAGUUGUAUACAUUAAACAUCUGUUUUGCAAAGUGAAUAAUAACUCUUUAGUUUUACCUGUAAUUUUAGUCAUACUACUAUUAAAAUUAAAAGCGCUUUAUAUAUGAAAUGACUUCUCUUUUGUAUUUAACUAACAGUGGGAAAAGUAUGUAAUAAGAUAUAUUUGAAGAGGUGUCCCUCAUACAAGGUCACUGAUUUCUUUAAUAUAUUUCUACUUUGAUUUAUGUCUUACGAUUUAUUGAAAAUACGUAGCCUUGUUUAUUCUUAUGAAUUUCCUCUCUAAGGAAUAGUUUAAUGUUAUAAAAGUACUGUUGUUCUGAAAUCCUCACAUAUCUUUAAUAUUAAAAAAAUCAAUCAGGGAGCCUGGAAAUAUCAGAUACCAUCCUUUCUAGAUGCAAAGGUAAAUAUGCCACACAAAUAAAGGAAAAGAGAAUUUGAUGCUUUAGUUUUCUGUAUUUCUCCCAACAUCUUUCCUUUUCUUCUGUUGAGGAUCCUUAUUCACAGAUGCCACUGAGGUAAAUAUGGAUAUAGAUAGAGGUAUGUAGAUAUCUCAAGAGGUGAUCAAAAUAUACAGUGAUUGUUUAGAUUUUAAAAAUUUAUUACUAGACAUGUUGCCACUGGUUACCCUCAGAAGACUCCAUCUAGCUUUGAACACACUUAUCCCAUGCUUCUUAUCCUUUUCUGAAGCAGUUCUGGAAAUUUUCUUUUGGUCUCUAUGAAUAAAAAAAUUAUGAAUAAAAAAUGUGUUGAAUGCUUCUGUUGAGUUGCAUCCCAGCAAAAAGCAGGAUCAUAUAAACAUCACAGUGUGUCCUUUCCACCUUAUCCACUUGAUCUGGCACCAUGUGACUGCUGGCUGUCCUCCAAAGUGAAAAUGAACAUGAAAAGGAAAUGUUUUGAGUGGAUUCAGGACAUAAAGUUGGCCAGGAGGGCACAAAACAAGACACAAAAGAGGACUCCCAGAACUGCUUUAGAAAGUGGCAAGAAUGAUAAGUUCAUAUGAAGUGCCAGAAGUAUUUUGUUGGGUAUUAUUGGCAAUAUAUUUUUCACUGUAAUAAAAGGUUUAGGGCUGGGGAUUUAGCUCAGCAGCAUAAGUGCUGCCUGGCAAGUACACGAUUGUGAGUUCGAUCCACAGUACCUAUAUGUAAAUAUAUAUGUACACAUACACAUAUACACACAUAUAUAUAUAUAUGUAUAUAUAUAUAUUUACUUGUAAUAAAAUGUUUAGAAUUUGAAUAUCAUUCUAUUUUUAACCACAUCUUUUAUAGCUAUAUACACAUAGGAUGUACAAAAAUGUAGAUAGUAGACACGAUAUUUUGGAGUCAUCUUCACGAAUCCUCAGGUCGAUGACUAUGGAAAUCUUACAGAUUUGUAUCUUUGCCCUGAAUCAUCUUUUCAUUUUUUACUGUAGUUUUGUUCAAAAAUCAUUUGCUUCUACUAUAUACAACUUUAUGCCAAAAAACAGAAACAUCUUCAACUUUCAGAAAGAGUUUCAACUACUCAGAUAUAUUUAAUUCAAUGAAACUUCUCAGUCACUUUUUUAUUUUAAAAAAAGAUUAAGAUAAAAGAGGACAUAACCAAACAGGUCAGAACAGAACAAUUUAAGCAACAUAGUGUUUCACCACAAGAAAACCUGAUAUAGUAGUAGCUAUCAUAGUGUCUCUUUCCUUGAAAUAUUUGAGUAUACCUUCAUAUACUAUACUACCAAACAUAACAAAAAGGUAUAAAAACAUUCAAGGGAAUGAAAGUAUUACAAGGUAUUCAGAACCAACGAACAGUAAAUGAACAAUGGUUACUAUAUUAUCUCCUUGUCCAUAAAAUUUUGUUUAUAUUAUCACAUAUAAUAAAAUACAAUAAGAUACAACAUGAUAAAACCAAUGGAGACAGAAGAACAACAGCUUGACGGGACUUCAAAUCAAGAUGAUAUUAAAUCAGCAUUAGAUAUUAUAAUGUCUUAUUUUCUUCAAAAUAGCUGUUCAUACCAUCACAGACAAUAAAAUCAAACAACCCAGAAUAAAACCAUUCCAACUAAUGAAUGAGAACAUGAUAAGCAAUUCAAAGCAAUAUACUGGGGAAUCAAGAUUACCACAUACUUUUAUGUAUUCUUACAUUUCUUACACUAGGGAGCCUAUUCAGUAUUUAUACAUGUGAGUUAGAUUCAUUUCACUUAUGAGUAUGGUCUCAAGCUGUGUCCAUUUAUUUAUAAAGAUCUCAAUGUGAUCAUUUUUAUAGCUGAGUAGUACUCCAUUGUAUAAAAAUACCACAACUUUUUUAUUCAUUCCUCAGUUGAUGGACACUUACGUUGUUUCCAAGACCUAACUAUUACAAAUUGUGCUGCUAUAAACAUGGGUGCACAUAUAUCACUGUGGUAUAAUGUUUGCUUCUGGGAAUAUGCCUGGAAAUGGAAUAGCUGGAACAAAUGGGACCUCCAAUCCCAGAUUUCUGAGAAGACUGACCUCCACAAUGGUUGCACCAGUCUACACUCCCACCAAAAGUGCAAGAGAGUUCCAUAGCCUCUCCAGCAUUUGUUGAUGGUUUUCUUGAUCCUGGCCAUUCUUUCAGGAGUGAGAUGGAAUCUCAGUGUGGUUUUAAUUUGCAUUUCUCUAAUGAAAAUGAUGAUAAACAUUUUUUAAGAUAUUAUUUGCAAUUUUUAUUUCUUCAUCUGAGAACUGUGUAUUCAUCCCAGAUGCCCAUUUGUGGAUUGGAUCUUUGAAUUUUGGGGGUCUGAUUUUUAAAAAUUCUUUGUAUGUUUUGGGCAGAAGUCCGUUGUCUGAGGGACAGUUCACUAAGAUUUUUUUUGCAGUUUGUGAGUUUUCUUUUUACUAUGCUGGAGAUUUCUUUUGAUGUGAAGAAACUUUUUAAUAAGAUGUGAUCCCAGUUACUGAUUCUGGGGAGUAUUUCUCAUGCGGUUUGAUUCCUGUUCAUGAAUUCUCUACCUACUCCUAUGUCUUCAAGGUUUUUUACCCACUUUGUCUUCCAAUAGAUUUAGUGUUUCUGUUUUAAUAUUCAGAUCUUUGGUCCAUUUAGACUUUAAUUUAGUAUAUGGUGAUAGGCAUGGGUCUAGUUUUAGUUUUCAGUAUAUGGAGAGCCAGUUUUUCUAACACUGUAUAUUAAAGAGACUGUCCUUCUUCCAGUGAACAUAUUUGGCCCCUUUAUCAAAGAUAAGGUGAUUGACUGCGUUUUUAGUUGUGGUUGUAUCUUCUAAUCUAUUCCACUGGUCUUCAGCUCUGUUUUGAUUCCAGUGCCAUGUUUAUAGUUGCUUUGUAGUAUAACUUUAAGUCAGGGAUCGUGAUGCUUCCUGCCUUGCCUUUGCUGCUUAGAACUGUCUUUGCUAUUCUAGGCCUCUUCUUGUUCAAGAUGAAUUUUAGGAGUGAUUACUUGAGUUCUGUGAGGUAUGUUGAUGGUAUUUUUAUUGGGAUUGCAUUGAAUCUGUAUAACAGUUUUGGGAGAAUGAUCAUUUUCACAAUAUUUAUUUGUUCAAUCCAUGAGCACGGGAUGUCUUUCCAUUUUCUGAGAUCCUCUUCAAUUUCUUUUUUCAGUGUAUUAUAAUUUUUCCCAUAUAGAUCUUUUAUUUCUUUUGUGAGAUUAAUUCCUAACUAUUUCAUUUUUUUGGAUGUUAGUGUGAAAGAUGUGGCUUCUCUUACUUCUCUCUCUGUGAUUUUGUUGUUAGUGUAUAGGAAUGCUAUUGGUUUUUGAGUUUUGAUUUUGUAUCCAGCUACAUUGCUGAAUUUAUUUAUUAUAUUUAGGAGACUUUCAAUGGAAUUUUGGGGGUCUUCUAUGUAAAAUAUCAUGCCACCCACAAAUAAUGAUAAUUUAACUUCUUUUCAUAUCUUUACCCCUUUUAUUUUUCUCUCUUGUCUAAUUUCUCUGGCUAGUAUAUCCAGUACUGUAUUGAAUGCGAGCUGUGAUAAGGGACAUCCUUGUUUUGUGCCUGAUUUUAAGGUAAAGGCCUUCAGUUUUUGGUCAUUUAGUAUGAUACUGGCUGUUGGUUUGUCAUAGAUGGCCUUUAUCAUAUUGAGGUAAAGACCACUAAUUCCAAUUUUCUGUAAGAUUAUUAUCAUGAAUGAAUGUUGGACCUUAUCAAAAGCUUUUUAUGCAUCUAUAGAAAUGAUCAUGUAAUUCUUACUUUUGGUUUAUAGAUAUGGUGGAUUACACUUAUUGAUUUACGUAUGUUGAACGAUCCUGCAAGCCUGGGAUGAAUCCCAAUUGGUCAUGGUGUGUAAACUUCUUGAUGAUUUGCAGCAUCCUGUUUGUCAAUAUUUUAUUGAGGAUUUUUGUUUCUGUGUUCAUGAGGGAAAUUGGCCUGUAGUUCUCUUUUUCAGUUGAGUUUUUCUCAGGUUUUAGAGUAAUAUUUGCUUCCAAGAGUGACUUAGGAAGAAUUGCUUCCCUUUUGAUUUCAUUGAAGAUUUUGAGGAGUGUCGGCAUUAGGUCUUCUUUGUAUUUCUUGUAGAAUUCCGCAGUGACUCCAUCUGGGCCUGGGCUCUUCUUUGUAGGUGAGGACUUAAUUACAUUUUCAAUUUCACUAAUAGAAAUUGGGUUACUCAGAAGUUUUACAUCUUCUUGACCUAGCUUUGGUACUUCAUAUGUUUCUAGGAAUCUCUCAUUUCUUCUGUGUUAUCAUACCUAUGAAAGUAGAGGUUUUCAAAAUAGGUGUUGAUAAUCUGUAUUUCUAUAGGGUCUGUAGUAAUUUCACCUUUUUCAUUCAUUGUCGCAUGAAUUUGAGCUUUUUCUUCCCUUUUUUAAUAAGGUUGGCUAGGGGCUUAUCAAUUCUAUUGGUUCUUUCAAAGAACCAACUCUUUGAUUCAUUGAUUCUUUGGAUUGUUUUCUUAGUCUCUAUUGCAUUAAUUUCUGCUCUGAUUUUAUAAUUUCCUCCCUUCUUUUGUCUUUGGCCUUGACUUGCUCUUGUUUUCCUAGAUGUUUGAGUUGUAACCUCAGGUUAUUUAUUUGUAUUCGUUCUGUUUUCCUGAUGUGGGAACUCAGUGCAAUACAUUUUCCUCUGAGGACCACUUUCAUUGCAUCCCACAGAUUCCAGUAAGUUGUUAUUUUAUUUUCGUUUGCUUGUAGGUAUUGUUUAAUUUCUUCUUUAAUUUCCCCUGUGACCUACUGAUUGCUCAAGAGUGUGUUAUUCAAUUUCCAUGUGGUUAUGUGAUUUUUGCAGUUUCUUUUAUCAUUAAUUUCUAAUUUCAUGGCGCUAUGAUCUGAUAACAUGCAUGCGAUAAUUUCAAUUCUUUUGCAUUUAUUUAAAUAUGUUCUGUGGUCUAAUAUAUGGUCUAUUUUAGAGAAUGUCCCAUGUACCACUGAGAAGAAUUUAUAUUCUGAUGUUGUUGGAUGGAACACUCUGCAUAUGUCUAUCAAGUCCAUUUGUUCACAGAACCAAGUUCAAAAGUAUAGGCAACAACUGUGAAGACAACAAGAUUCAUUAUGACACCCAUUCUGGUUGAUUAUUAUCUUCUUUUAAAGUCCUGUAAUGUCUCCAAUGUUUUGGUUUUAUUCUUUACUGUUUUGUUCAAUUUUAUUAUAACUGAUGAUAUAGGCAAUUCUUAAGAUAGCUAGAGGCAAUAUGGUAACCAUUGUUGAUCACCUAGUAUUUUGUUUUUACAUUAUCUAUUAUGUCCAUCCUUUGGUUUGACUGACUCUGUUCUGUUAUGUCACAUUUGGUUUUACUCUCUUCAAAAAAAAGUAAUAAGAACUGUGGGAGUAAUAAAAUGUGUAAUUGUCUUUGUACAAAAGAAAGGAAAAGAAAGUGCUCUAAAGGGUAUAAUUGCGUGUAUAUUUAAGUGUAUAAGAUAGAUAACCAUAUUACUGAGUUUUGUUGGAUCAUUGAACAAAACUGUUUGCAGUCUCACUGUUUGAAAGUCCACUUUAUAUGCUUUAAUUUUGUAACUUGAACAACUAUUUCUAAGAUAACAAUAUGUAAUGUAUUAACUAGUGAUUUCCUGUUUAUUUUUUCUGAAAUUCUGUAUAACUU
Molecule: RNA transcript, 87411 nt
Organism: Cavia porcellus (domestic guinea pig)
Lineage: Eukaryota; Metazoa; Chordata; Mammalia; Rodentia; Caviidae
Gene name: endogenous retrovirus group K member 5 Gag polyprotein-like
Exons: 3
Source: RefSeq, a predicted model, not a curated record